RNAcentral lists this long non-coding RNA (57627 nucleotides) under Citrus maxima (pomelo). Its description in RNAcentral is "long non-coding RNA (CMAX_LNC003928)". Lineage: Eukaryota; Viridiplantae; Streptophyta; Magnoliopsida; Sapindales; Rutaceae. The record is from RNAcentral.
AAUAAGUUGGUAGGUUCAUUCCCAGAUGAGCUUUGCCAUCUAGGUAGGCUGGCUGAAUUGGCCUUAUUGGACAAUAGGCUUUCAGGAUCUAUACCUUCUUGUGUAAGUAAUCUCACUUCUCUAAGAUCUCUCUAUUUAGGGUCCAAUAAGUUUACUUCUGUUAUUCCCUCAACCUUCUGGAGGCUAAAAGACAUCUUGUUCUUUGACUUUUCAUCAAAUUUCUUGGUUGGUCCUCUUUCUUUAGAUAUAGGAAAUUUGAAGGUGCUUCUAGGAAUAAGUUUAUCAAAAAAUAAUUUAUCCGGUGAUAUCCCAGCCACAAUUGGAGGACUGAAAGAUCUUCAAUUUAUGGACCUAGCAUAUAAUAGAUUGGAAGACCCAAUUCCCAAAUCAUUUGGUGACUUGACAAGUUUGGAGUUUUUGAAUCUGUCAAAUAAUAAAAUCUCUGGGUCUAUUCCAACAUCCAUGGAGAAACUCUUUUACCUCCGAGAGUUAAAUCUCUCUUUCAAUAAACUAGAAGGUGAGAUUCCUAGUGGAGGAAUUUUUGCCAACUUCACAGCUGAGUCAUUUAUGGGAAAUGAGUUAUUGUGUGGUUUACCAAAUCUUCAAGUCCAACCAUGCAAAAUUAGCAAGCCGAGGACAGAACAUAAAUCAAGGAAAAAGAUACUGCUCAUUGUGAUUGUUUUGCCAUUGAGUAUUGCUCUAACGAUAGCAAUCACUCUAGUUCUCAAAUAUAAGCUGAUCGAAUUUGGAAAAAGAAGCACAGUGUUAUCAAAUGAUAGUAUCUUGUCAUCACAAGCAACACUAAGAAGAUUUUCAUACUUAGAACUUUUACAAGCAACAGAUAAUUUUGCUGAAAACAACAUAAUUGGCAUAGGAGGUUUUGGUUCUGUUUAUAGAGCAAGACUUGAAGAUGGGAUGAAGAUUGCAAUAAAAGUGUUUCACCAGCAAUGUGCAAGCGCAUUGAAGAGUUUUGAGGCUGAAUGUGAAGUGUUAAAAAAUAUUCGCCAUCGAAAUCUUAUCAAAGUUAUCAGCAGUUAUUCAAACAAUGACUUCAAAGCAUUAGUCCUAGAAUACAUGUCCAACGGGAGCUUGGGGGAUUGGUUGCAUUCCAGCAAUUAUAUGCUUAAUAUAUUUCAAAGGUUGAACAUAAUGAUUGACGUUGCAUCAGCUUUAGAAUAUCUCCACUUCGAUCAUUUACCUCCUAUUAUUCAUUGUGACUUAAAGCCUAGUAAUGUAUUGUUGGACGAAAAUAUGGUUGCUCAUUUGAGUGAUUUUGGCAUUGCAAAGCUUUUAAGUGGAGAGGAUGAGUAUGUGAUGCGAACAAAAACCCUUGCCACUAUAGGUUAUAUGGCACCAGGUUUGCUUCAAACAACUUUUUUUUAGUUCAUUUUAAAUUUUCCAACUUAUUGAUUUUUACAAUCCUCACAUCAAAAUGUUAUUGAUUAUUUAUCUAAUUGUGAAAUUAAUUUGAUUCAUAGAGUAUGGCAUAGAAGGAGAAGUAUCUACAAAAAGUGAUGUGUACAGCUAUGGGAUUAUGUUAAUGGAAACUUUUACCAAGAAAAAACCCACAGAUGAAAUUUUUGUUGGAGAAUUGAGCUUAAAGCGUUGGGUUAAUGACUUGCUUCCUACUUCAUUAGUGGAAGUUGUGGACAAAACUCUGCUAAGUGGAGAGGAAAAACUUUCUGCAGCAAAGGAGCAAUGUCUGUUGUCUAUCUUUAGCUUGGCUCUGGAGUGUACAAUGGAAUCACCGGGAAAGAGGAUUAAUGCAAAAGAUAUUGUUACAGGAUUACUCAAGAUAAGAGACACAUUGAGUAAAAGGAUAGGAAACUUAAGUUAAUUUCGUUUGCUUUCAUUGAUAGUUAAUUCAAAUUCAUGUAAUAAGUGUAAGAAUCUUAUAUGCUUUCCUUAGAUUUUUUUUUGUUUGAGAAAACUGUUGUAUUCAUCUUGUUUCCAUGGGCAGAGUUGAUUUAGUUCUUCCAAGAAAUGCUACUGAUGACCUUUGUUUUAUACUUUCGCUUUUUUUUGCAUGUGUUUCGGUAGAAUAGUGGUUUGGCUCACUCAAAGAAGUCAAACUGCACUAAAAGAAUAUGAUUUAAUUUAUUAAACAAAACUUCAAGUUCAAGAAAAGUAUCUCACUGCCCCCAAUGCUUUGGACACCUAUUGGUAGGUUUGUACGUGUCCUCAACUUUUUUUUAGAGCACAAAAUUCGAGUCCCAUGGAGACUCAAACAUUCCUUUUCCGCAUCCCGAGCGUGCUAAAUUCAUCAGACUGACAAUUGGGACAUAUAGAAGAGUGAAAUGUUUGGAGCACGCUAAGUUCGAGCGAAAGAGAUUAAUUUACAGAAACUAAAGCCAAGAGAAUAAAGGACAACACUUAUGUGAAGCGACAUAAUUGUAUUGAUAGCACAAUGUCAAAUUCAUACAGAGAUCUAGUAUACUAUUUACAGCCGGUAAGGGCUAAGAAUUGAUGUAGCUAGAAUACAAAGACGAUAAGGUAUGUUGUGCACUAUUGUUUUAUUCUACGAUCAAUCUUGACCCUUGAUGCUUGGCUCUCAAUCUUGUCCAUUGAUCUUCUUUGAUUUUGUACACUUCAAGACCUUUCAGUAUCAUUCCUUGUUGUUGGUGUCUUCCGUGCUGUAGAAUUCAUAUACAAGCCUUCCCGCCGACUUGCGAAGUAUUCGUUCAUUGAUGCAUUUUAUCAAACAGCUGGGCUACUUAUACCAAACACCGCGUGGUUUAACUCCCCCUCUCUAGCUUAACUAUCUGGGAAGGCAAUUAAUUGAGAUAUGAAUUAGAAAAUUAAAUUUUAAAAAUUAUAUUCGGACUCUACAUUUUGUAAUGAACAUUGGUUUGACUUGUUAUACAUUUACGCGUACAUAAUUAAUAACCGAUUCUCAAGUGCGGACAUUCAAGAGCACUGCUUAAAGACCAAAUAUUUUGAUUUACUAUUUUUUGUCUUUCAAUUUUCUUUUACGUUCUGAUGACGUCCGCAUUUUAAAAUCCUGUGGAACAAAGGUCGAAUUGUAGAGGGUAAGCAAACAUUUAUCCGAAUUAUAUUAUGAUAAAUCCUUUUCCAAUUAGAAUUAGGAAACCAUAGAUAUACUGAUUUUUUUUGUUUAAAUGAUUUUGUGAUUUACUUGAUUGAUUGAGUGAUUGAAUAUUGUUUGAUUGCUUCAUAUCAAUUCUAGAAAGUUUAUUUCUUUGUGAAAUUUCAACGAAAUAUGUUUUUUAAAAUAAUAAAGGUGUUUUAAGUAAUUUUAAAAAAUAAAUGGACUAAUUAGAAUUAAUUAUUAAGUAAUUAACUCGAACUGUAGAGGAUAAGCAAACAUUUAUCCUAAUUAUAUUACGAUAAAUCAUUUUCCAACUAGAAUUAGGAAACCAUAGAUAUGCUGAUUUUGUUUUUUUAAUUUCUCUUUGCGAAAACGGAUUAGAGAACUAGAAAACAAUCCUAGUGAGACUAUUGUUAGGUUUAAAACACUGCAUAGAUGGUAAAAACAUGCGUGGUGAAUAUUUUGUCGCAUGCAAACUUUUUGUUUUAUGCAAAUCGUGCUGAACAUUGGGACUGAUGUUUAAGAAAAAAAUUCUGUAGUUAAAGAAAAACAAAAAAAUUCUGAUGUUUAUGCAAAAAUAGAUUACGAUAGUUUAUUCAAUUGGGAGUUUUUUUUUCUUUAAUUUUUGUUGUACUUGAUUGAGAUUUCUCCUUAGUCCUUACCGUCUUAAGUUUGGAUACCGUAGGAUUAGUAAUUUCGUACUUCCUUUGCAAGCUGAAUAUAAGGAUGAAAUUUUUUUAAGAAAUUAAAAAAAAAAGAUUAAAAAAAGGGCAUACCAGUAGGCAAUUAUAAAUUAACCACAAAUAAAUAUAAACAAAAUGUUUAUGAAGUAAAUUAAACAUGCACAUAUUAUUUUCUUUUAUUUUCUGCUUGGAAACCCAUAAAUACACUAAUCCAGUACUACUAAUUUCAGACCGAAAAAUUUGAACUCUAGGCUGCAGUUUGACUCAAAAUGAUGAUCACUGGCUUCGCACCAUUUAACCGGUAUACAUUUCUACAAACUGAACAAGGCUAUUGAUUAUUAUUAUUAUUAUUAUUUUAAUUUGUUUAUAAAUUACUAUUUUAAUUUUCACUUUUUAUUGGGUUGUUUAACGGAUUAGUGAAGUUGGUGGUCGUUGAUGCACUCACAAGGUACAAUUUUAUUUUAUAAUUUCAAAUUCGUAUUUUAAAAUGCAGGCACAUUAUGUAUACAUAAUUAUUGAUUUUCAUAUGUGGGUGUUUUGAAAUAUUGCCAAAAGACCAAACUUUAAUAAACUAUUUUUGAUCUUUUUUUUCCUUUUUAGCUAAAGUUUGAGUGAUAUCCGCAUUUUAAAUUCAUGUGGAACAAAAGCUAAUGUAUGCACAAAAUUCUUUUAUUUUUUCCGAGAAAAAUGGGUAAGAGAAGAAGAUUUUUCUCUUGAAAAAAGAAAAACCAAUACGAUGCAAGCAUAGGAAAGAGUUCAGUGUUUUGGAUUUGAAUUUAGUAUUGAGCUGAAUUUUAUGCUAAGCUCUUUUAUAGUACUGCUAAUAAUAAGCUCAGGAUUUGCUUUUGCUUUUACGUCAAGUAAAAGAAAGAGGAAACCUUUUGUUUUCUGUUUGAUUUUUGACUAUAUAUGUUACCUAUAUAGAGAGUUGAGGUAGCUGCCUUAAGUGAUGGUGAUAAAAAGAUUAAGCAACGCACACAAUCUUACUGUUGUCCAGACCAUCCAGUGAUGCUCUAGUUUUUUGGUUACAUUAGCUUUAGUGGAAAGAAGGGUCAAUUUAACAAAGACUAGAUUUGGUGGCUUACUAUAAUGCUUAUUCUCAGGGAAUCUAAUGUUAUAAGAUGAUUGAAUGAUCUUCUAUGAUUGUGUGUAGUACAAUAUAAUUGAAAGGAACCUGGGCUCCUAUGAUGAAUAACAGCAACACAUUACUAUGAUUGAGAAAACUCAGUUACAAUAAACUCUUCAUUUAUUCAUUGCUGAGAUUGAAUGGCAAACAGAGAAUAGAAUGAAGCAGAGGAAUCUCAUUGCCGGUAAAAUUGACCAUAUUUAAUGUUACUUGCAGUUUUUAUUGUAAAAUAUAUAGGUAUUGUCAAAGCCGGUGGUGGCCUAGCCAAAAUCAAAUUGGCUUUGGCAGCCGCCCAAAGAAAUAAACAAAAGAGAAAUAGAAGAAAAAGAGAUGAGGGAGAUGCCGCCUAAAGAAAUGAAGCACACGGCUUUGACUUGUUCUAAAAAAAAAAAAAGAGCCAAAAUUUUUUGCUAUAUAAAGUGGGCUUCCCACCCUCAUUUUUGCAUUCCAUUUAAGAGAGAGCAAUCUAGUAUUUUUUGAGAGAGAGUUUUGAGAGCUUGAAAUUAUAAGCUUUUGUUAUAGAAAUUUGAGAGUUUGGGUGUAUUGGGGUUUUGGGAAGUGGGCUAAAAUACUACAAUACUUGUAAUUUCUUUUUACUAAUAAAAUAUUUCCUUCUGUCUUCGCCCGUGGACGUAGGCUAAAAGCCGAACCACGUAAUUUCUAAUAUUCUCUUUUGUGAUUGUUUUUUAUUCUUCUUCCAAUUUUAUUUUAGCUGCAGUCCUGCUUCACCCACCAAUUUCCUAAUAGUGGUAUCAGAGCUAUUGGUUGUAUUUUUUGGAGUCGGGUACUAUUCACGUAAGGGUACUAUUCACAUAUAUGGUAUUGUUCACGUAUACGAUACUAUUCACGUGAAAUGGUGAGAGCGAUCCAAGAAUUUGGCGGUGCAAAAGUAGGGAAUAGUGGUGUGAGUAAAACAACUGUGUGGUUUUGUACAUGUCUAGGAAAGUUCUGUCAUAAAGACGAUAAGAGCUUAAGGAGUCUGGGUUUUAAGUGGGACCAUUGUGACCCCUCCAGUCUUUCUUGGAAACUUUCCUGGUGUGCAUAUUCACACAUACUCACAACUAUUUAAGGUGAUACACUAGUUUGUGUACAAUAUUUAUUAACAAAAUGGCGGCAAAGUAUGAAAUUAAGAAAUUUAACGGAAAUAAUUUUUCGUUGUGGAAAAUAAAGAUGAAAGCUGUAUUGAGGAAAAAUAAUUGCUUGGCAGCAAUUAGAGAAAGGCCUAUGGAGAUAACUGAUGACAAGUGGAACGAGAUAGAUGGCAACGCCAUUUCUGAUUUACACUUGGCGCAUGCAGACAGAGUAUUAUCCAGUCUGGCAGAGAAAAAUACAGCAAAGGAAAUAUGAGAUACACUCACAAAAUUGUACGAGGCCAAGUCACUACACAACAAAAUCUUCUUGAAGAGGAAACUCUAUACUCUUCGAAUGACGGAAUCUACAAUGGUGACUGACUACAUCAACAUCUUGAAAACUCUAUUUUCACAACUCACAGUGUUGGGUUAUAAUAUAGAGGAGAAUGAACGUGCAGAGCUUCUACUUCAAAGUCUACCAGAUUCGUAUGAUCAACUCAUCAUCAACCUGACAAACAACAAUCCAGCGGACAGUCUAGUUUUCGAUUAUGUUGCAGCCUCCGUAUUAAAUGAGGAGAGCAGGCGGAAAAAUAAGGAAAACAGCAAGCAAGUUCGCAUCAAGCGGAGACGCUAUUGGUGACGAGAGGGAGAUCAACGGAACGUGGCCCCAGUGAGAGUCAAAAUCAUGGUAGAUCAAAAUCUAGAAGUAAGAAGAAUGUUAAAUGCUACAAUUGUAGCAAGAAAGGGCACGUCAAGAAAGAAUGUUGGAGUAAUUAGAAGAGAAAAGAGGGCAAAGAACCUGAGUCAUCAAAUGCUCAGGGUUGUGUAGCAAGUACCUCGGAUGAUGGCGAAAUUCUCUACAGCGAGGCAACAACUGUUUCAGAAGGCAGAAAACGACUAUAUGAUGUUUGACUUAUAGACUCAGGAGCUACCUGGCACAUGACCUCUCGGAGAGAAUGGUUCCACACAUAUGAACCUAUCUUAGGAAGAUCUGUAUAUAUGGGUAAUGAUCAGGCCUUGGAGAUCACUAGUAUUGGUACUAUCAAAAUAAAAAUGUUUAAUGGUAUAAUUCGCACAAUUGGGGAGGUACGACAUGUCAACGGCUCUAAGAAAAAUCUUUUGUCUUUGGGACAAAUGGAUAGUCAUGGGUACAAAACUCAUGUGGAGAAUGGAAUUAUGAAGAUCGUUAAAGGCGCGCUUGUAUUGAUGAAGGCAGAAAAGAUCAAUGCUAAUCUAUUCAUGCUUAAAGGAGAAACACUACAGGAGGCUGAUGCGUGUGUUGCAUCAAAUGAAGAAGAGUCAACGAUGAUGUGGCAUCUCAAACUUGGCAACAUGUCGGAACAAGGUUUGAAGAUUCUCUCUAAGCAAAAAUUGCUUCCGGGGCUCAAAUCGGUAAAUUUACCAUUUUGCGAGCAUUGUGUUACAAGUAAGCAGCAUAGAUUAAAAUUCAAUAGAUCUAUUGCUAGAAGUAAAUGCAUUCUAGACUUGAUUCAUUCUAAUAUUUGAGAAUCACCGAAUAUAUCCAUAGGAGGUGCAAAAUACAUGGUGACUUUCAUUGAUGAUUAAUCCAGAAGAUGUUGGGUGUAUCCAAUUAAGAAAAAGUCAGAUGUAUUUUCAGUGUUUAAAGAAUACAAAGCGUGGGUGGAACUUGAAUCUGGUAAAAGGAUAAAGUGCUUGAGGAUAGAUAAUGGUGGAGAGUAUACAAAUGGCGAGUUUCUUGCUUUCUGUAAACAAGAAGGUAUCCAAAGGCAUUUCACGGUGGCAUACACUCCUCAAUAAAAUGGAGUGGCGGAGCGGAUAAACAGAACUCUUACAGAAAGAAUAAGAGCUAUGUUGAGGACUGCUAGUCUACCCAAUUUAUUCUGGGCAGAAGUAGCCAAAACUGCUUGUUAUAUAGUAAAUAGGUCGCCAUCUACAGCCAUUGGGCUGAAGACCGCGAUGGAGAUGUGGACUGGAAAGCCAGCUGAUUAUUCCUACCUACAUGCAUUUGGAUGUUCUAUGUACGUGAUGUACAAUGCCAAAAAAAAAACAAAGCUGAGUCCAAAAUCUAGAAAAUGUAUCUUCUUGGGGUAUGCUGAUGGAGUAAAGAGGUAUCGUCUAUGGGACCCCACUGCCCACAAGAUUGUCAUCAGCAGAGAUGUUAUGUUUAUAGAAGAUCAACUGCAAAGGAAAGAUAAGGAUUAUAGCAGUGUAAAAGAAAAGUCAAAGACUAUACUGGUAUAUGUGGAAAAUAAUCCAGAAGAUUCAGAUUCUUCUGAAGCAGCACCAGAGCACGAGGAAUGAGAACCAGUCGAGUCUGGGGCUCCAGAAGUUCGUCGGUCAACUCGUGAGAGAUGAUCGCCAACGUGGCACUCGGAGUAUGUCAUAGAGAUCAAUGUUGCAUACUAUCUUCUAAUAGAAGAUGGAGAGCCUUCAACUUUCUAUGAAGCUUUAAACAGCUCAGAUGUUGCUUUGUGGAUGACAGCAAUGCAGGAAGAAAUUGAAGCUCUACAUAAGAACAAGACAUGGGAACUUGUACCACUACUACACGGAAGAAAAGCCAUUGGAAACAAAUAGGUCUACAAGAUCAAGCGUAAUGGCAAUGACCAAGUGGAGCGGUUUCGUGCAAGAUUGGUAGUGAAAUGAUAUGCUCAAAAAGAAGGUAUUGACUUCAAUAAGAUAUUUUCGCCGAUAGUUCGACUCACAACAGUCAGAAUAAUCUUGGCAAUGUGUGCUACAUUUGACCUACAUCUAGAGCAGUUAGAUGUGAAAACUGCAUUUCUUCAUGAAGAACUUGAAGAAGAAAUAUAUGUGCUCCAACCAGAAGGUUUUAUAGAAACAGGAAAGGAAAACUUGGUUUGCAGGUUGAACAAAUCUCUAUAUGGUCUCAAACAGGCGUCGAGGUGUUGGUAUAAGAGAUUCGAUUCCUUCAUCAUGAGCCUUGGAUACAACAGAGUAAGUUCAGACCAUUGUACAUAUUAAAAAAGGUUUGAAGAUAAUGAUUUUAUUAUUUUAUUGUUGUACGUGGAUGACAUGUUGGUAGCAGGCCCCAACAAAGAUCGAGUCCAAGCAUUGAAGGCACAGUUGGCUAGGGAGUUUGAAAUGAAGGAUUUGGGACCAGCAAACAAGAUUCUAGGGAUGCAAAUUCACCGAGACAGAAAUAGCAGGAAGAUUUGGCUUUCGCAGAAGAAUUACUUGAAGAAAAUCUUGCAGCGCUUCAACAUGCAAGAUUGUAAGUCAAUUUCUACCCCACUUCCUGUUAAUUUCAAAUUAUCCUCAAGUAUGUGUCCUAGCAAUGAAGGAGAGAGGAAGGAGAUAUCUCGAGUACCGUAUGCAUCAGCAGUUGGAAGUUUGAUGUUUGCUAUGAUAUGUACAAGACCAGACAUUGCACAAGCAGUGGGAGCAGUCAGUCGAUACAUGGCCAAUCCCGGUGGAGAGCAUUGGAUAGCUGUGAAGAAGAUUCUGAGAUACAUCAGACGAACCUCAGAUGUUGCAUUAUGUUAUGGAGGAUCAGAGUUUACUGUCAGGGGCUAUGUGGAUUCAGAUUUUGUAGGAGACCUUGAGAAAAGAAAAUCUACUACUAGUUAUGUGUUCACACUUGCGGUAGCAGCUGUAAGCUAGGUUUCGAAACUGCAGACCGUUGUGGCUUUAUCUACAACAGAAGCAGAAUACAUGGCAGCUACACAAGCUUGCAAGGAAGCUAUUUGGACACAAAGAUUAUUGGAGGAGCAUGGGCACAAACAACAGAAAAUUCAUGUGUUUUGUGACAGUCAGAGUGCCUUGCACAUUGCAAGGAAUCCAGUCCUUCAUUCCAGGACAAAGCACAUAGGAGUUCAGUAUAACGCCGUUCGAGAAAUAGUGGAAGACGGAAAUGUGGAUUUACAGAAAAUCCAUACGAAGGAGAACCGAGCAGAUGUUUUGACCAAGCCGAUAAAUACUGAUAAGUUUGUUUGGAGUAGAUCCUCUUGUGGCCUAGCAGAAACGUAGGCAAUAUGAUUAUGGCGAAGCAGAAAAGAUGGUGUGGAGAUUGAUUGAUUUUCAGUCAAAUCUCCAAGUGGGAGAAAUAUCAAAGCCGGUGGUAGCCUAGCCAAAAUCAAAUUGGCUUUGGCAACCACCCAAAGAAAUAAACAUGGCUUUGGCAGCCACCUAAAGAAAUAAACAAAAGAGAAACAGAAGAAAAAGAGAUGAGGGAGGUGCCGCCCAAAGAAAUGAAGCACACGGCUUUGACUUGUUCUAAAAAAAAAAAAAAGAGCCAAAAUUUUUUUCUAUAUAAAGAGGGCUUCCCACCCUCAUUUUUGCAUUCUAUUUAAGAGAGAACAAUCUAGUAUUUUUUGAGAGAAAGAGUUUAGAGAGCUUGAAAUUAUAAGCUCUUGUUAUAGAAAUUUGAUAGUUUGGGUGUAUUGGGGUUUUGGGAAGUGGGCUAAAAUAUUACAAUACUUGUAACUCCUUUUACUAGUAAAAUAUUUCCUUCUGUCUUCGCCCGUGGAUGUAGGCUAAAAGCCGAACCACGUAAUUUCUGAUAUUCUCUUUUGUGCUUGUUCUUUAUUUUUUUUCCAAUUUUAUUUUAGCUGCAGUCCUGCUUCACCUACCAAUUUUCAAAAAGGUAUGACCAUGGUCAUUGCAGUUAGGUUUUGAUGAUUUCAGAUGCUUUUUUAAAAAAAAAUUGUGACUGACGAUUACAAUCAUUACAGCAAUGCUGAUGAGUGAUACAUCACUUGAAAUUUACUUGUCAGUUGCUGAAAUGAUGAAAAAAGACCAUAAACAAUAAGAUUAAUAAUGUUCUCUUGCUGAAUUCUAAUUUUGACUUUCAACUCUUGGUUUUUAUGGAAAGUAAAAUGACUUGUAUAUUGUUUAGAAACUCGAAUCUAACCAGUAACAAACUCGAAUCUAUCAUUAUCUAAACAAAAAACCAAGAGUUUCUAACCAGUAACAAACAAAGCAAUCUUAGUCUUUCAUGGAGCGGAACCUUAGUCUCAGUAUGAUCACUGUCUCAUUAACCCACUGCCUGCUUCUUUGCUUGGUUGUUGCAGCAACAGCAGCAGCAAGCAACAAUAUUAUCACAUACCAACAAGCUCUUCUUGCCCUGAAAGAUCAUAUCACUUAUGAUCCAACCAACCUUUUUGCCCAUAAUUGAACCUCGAAUACCUCUGUUUGUACCUGGAUUGGCAUCACUUGUGAUGUCAAUAGCCAUAGAGUCACAACCUUAGAUAUUUCUCAAUUCAAUCUACAAGGCACCAUCCCUCAACUUGGAAACCUCUCUUCACUCACAACACUUAAUUUUAGUCAUAAUAAGCUUUCUGGAAACGUUCCCUCCUCCAUCUACACCAUGCAUACGCUAAAAUUAUUAUAAGUGAAUAUGAAAUAGUUCACUCAAAGCAAGGAUAAAUGGAUGAAAGUACUACUCAUUUUAUUCACAAUGAGGUUGCCUUUUAUAGGCGUUACAUGAACAAACUUAAUGAAAUAAUAGCAGCUAUUAUUCAGCAAAUACUGCAGCCACUUUCCAGUAACUAUAGCCUAAAGACUAGGUAAACACAAUCUUGCAAAUAACAUUACCAACAAACUUCCUAAAGACUAGGACCAUAAAAGCAACUUAUUGACAUAAGGAAAUUCCAACAAUCCCUCCCUUAAACUAAAUGUUAUUAACAUUCAGUUUAAACAUUCUGCAGAAUCUUCCUCAAAUUGCAAUUUGCAAACUCCAAGUGACUUUCUCAACUUAAAAAAACUAGCCAAUUUGAGGGGUUUAGUAAAGAUGUCAGCAACUUGGUCUUCACUCUUGCAAUAAACAAGAUCAAUGACUUCAUUUUUUGUCAAGUCUCACAAGAAAUGAUAUCUCACAUCUAUGUGCUUGCAUCUUCCAUGUAGAACCGGAUUCUUUGAAAGUUUAAUUGUUGAACUAUUAUCACAGAAGAUUUGUGUUGACUUUGGUUGCUUAAACUGAAGUUCAUGAAGAAUAUUUCUUAGCCAAAGUGCUUGACAUGCACAAGAAGCUGCUGCAACAAACUCAGCUUCAGUUGUUGACAAAGUAACUAUCGGUUGCUUCUUAGAUGACCAUGAAAUAGCUGCUGAACCAAACAUAAAUACAUAUCCAGAUGUGCUUCUUCUGUCAUCCAAAUCUCCAGCAUAAUCAGUGUCUAUAAAGCCAUACAAAUUUGAUUUUUUACCCUUUUUAUAGAACAACCCAAAUUCAGCUGUACCACGCAAGUAUCGAAGAAUUCUUUUUGCAGCUAAAAGAUGAUCCUCUCUUGGACGCUCCAUAUAUCUGCUGAUGGAACUAACUGCAUGCAUUAUAUCAGGUCGAGUUGCCGUUAAGUACAUCAAGCUUCCAACAAUCUGUUUGUAAAGGGUACUAUCAAGCAGGAUCCUUAACAAACUUCAAUCCUUUUUCAAUUGGAGUAGUGACAGAGUUGCAGUUCUUCAUUUGAAAUCUUUCUAAGAUCUCUUUCACAUAUUUCUUUUGACAAAUAAAAUUUCCAGCAUCAGAUUGUAUGACUUCUAAGCCAAGAAAAUAAUGCAGCAAACCAACAUCAGUCAUAUCAAAUUCAAGCAUCAUGGAUUCCUUGAAUUUCUCAAACAUUACUCUGUCAUUUCCCGUGUAAAUCAAAUCAUCUACAUAUAAACAUACCAUAAGCAUUUUCCCAUCAUCUCCAAUUUUUAUGUACAGAGUAUGCUCAUAUGGGCAUUUUCGAAAACCUUCCUCCAAGAAAUAAGCAUCUAUAUGACUAUACCAAGCUCGGGGUGCUUGUUUUAGUCCAUAUAGAGCUUUUUUCAAUUUAUAGACUUUAUGCUCACUGCCUAAUUUCACAUAUCUAGGAGGUUGUUCGAUAAAUACCUCUUCUUGUAGCUCCCUAUGCAAGAAUGCUGAUUUCACGUCCAGUUGAAAAACAGGCCAUGAAUUUUGUGCUGCAAGAGCAAUAAUCAAUCUGAUCGUUUCAAGUCUUGCAACGAGAGAAAAUACUUCUUUAUAAUCCGCGCCGAACUCUUGCUUGUAGCCUUUGGCGACUAGGAGUGCCUUGUAUUUAUCAAUUUCACCAUUUUCCUUCAAUUUUGUCUUGUAAACCCACUUGACUCCUAUUGUCCUCUGCCCCAUUGGAAGUUCAGUCAACUCCCAAGUAUUAUUUUUUUCAAUGGAUGCAAUUUCUUCGUCCAUGGAUUUUAGCCAUUUUUGUUCUUUGACAGCUUCUUUAAAAGUUGUAGGAUCACAUUCUGAAAACAAGGCAAAGUGUAUGAGUGGAUUCUCAAGAGUGUUAAAUCUUGUUACCUCAUAAUCUGACAUCCAUGCAGGCCUUCUUCUAUCACGUUGAGAACGUGAAUCUGUAGCUUCAACUUGUUCAUUAAGUUCAUUUGUUGCUGGUGGAGUUUCUACUGAGACUCUAUUUUGCGGCAGGUCAGGAGCAGAGACUGUUGAAGGCUGAAGUUGCUGUGAAUUUUCUUCAAUUUCACCAUCGAAAUCUGCUGGAAUUUGCUGCCCAAUAGAACUGCAUCUCCACAUCCAUGUCUUCUCUUCAUAAAAAAUGACAUCACGACUAAUGACAAUUUUCUUGAUGAUGGGAUCAUAUAAUUUGUAGGCCUUUGAAUGAUCACUAACACUAAGAAAACUGCACUUUACACCUUUGUCAUCUAAUUUUCUUCUUUUCUCAUCUGGUAUGUGGACAUAUGCUAUACAUCCAAAUACCCGAAAGUGAUCUACUGCCGGCUUACAUCCACUCCAUGCUUCUUCAGGAGUUAUAUUUUGAACAGCUAUUGUGGGGCUUCUGUUCAAAAUAUAAACACUCCAAACAACUGCUUCAGGCCAAAAACUUUUGGGAAGACCACUCCUCCGCAGAAGGCUUCGUACCAUAUUAAGAAUUGUACGAUUUUUCCUCUCGCAUACACCAUUUUGCUGAGGUGUGUAGGCUGUUGUCAAUUGUCUUCUAAUUCCAUGAUUUUUGCAAAAGCUUCCAAAUUCUUGAGAGUUGAACUCUCCACCACGAUCAGUACGCAAUAUUUUAAUUUGGCUGUCAGCUUCUCUUUCAACUAAUGCUUUAAACAUUUAAAAGGCUGUGAAAACUUCCGAUUUUUCUUGCAAGAAAUAAACCCAGGUUUUUCAACUAAAAUCAUCAAUAAUUGAGAUAAAAUAUCGUUUACCUCCAUUUGAUGUUGGCUUGAUUGGCCCACAUAAGUCUGAAUGCACUAGCUCCAGCACUUUCUUUGCCCUCCGGGAUUUUCCUUUUGGAAAAUUAUCUCGAUGUUGCUUACUGACAAUACACUCUUCGCAAAGCUGUGAAGGUUGCUCAAAUUUCUAGACUUCACGGAUAACCAGCUCUCUGGUUCAGUGUCUUCCUUCGUCUUCAACAUGUCUUCAAUAUUAGACAUUCGUUUGACUAAUAACAGACUCUGGUGAGCUUCCGAAAAAUAUUUGCAACUAUAUUCCUUAUUUGAAAGCCCUUUCUUUAGACAAAAACAUGUUUCAUGGCAAAAUUCCUUAUGCUUUAUCAAAGUGCAAACAACUGCAACAAUUAAAUUUGCAGUUCAAUAAUUUAUCCGGUGCAAUACCGAAAGAAAUCGGCAACUUGACUAUGCUCAAAGGGAUAUAUCUCGGCUACAACAAACUCCACGGUAUGCUCAUAAUACUAUACAAAUAUUAUCUUUCUUGAAUACUUUAGAUAAGAUCUUGUAUGUGAGAUUUUUUUGCAUCUAUAUUAAUUUUCCAGGUGAGAUACCGCACGAAAUCGCUAAUCUUCGAAAUCUAGAGGCUUUAGCGCUUGGAAUGAACAACCUAGUUGGUGUGGUAUCAGCUCCAAUAUUCAACAUGUCAACAUUGAAGAUAAUUAUCCUCAUAAAUAACUCCCUCUUCGGAAGUCUUCCAUCAAGAAUAGGCCUUUCACUUCCAACUGUUGAGCAUCUUAACUUGGAACUUAAUAGAUUUUCUGGAACCAUUCCUAGUUCCAUCACCAAUGCUUCUAAGCUCACCCUUCUAAAGUUGGGAGGAAACACAUUUUCGGGCCUUAUUCCGGACACAAUUGGUAAUUUAAGAAACCUUGAGUGGCUCGGCUUGGCUUAUAACAACUUGACAUCUUCAACCUCAAAAUUGAGCUUUCUUUCCUCUUUGGCAAAUUGCAUGAAAUUAAGAUCCUUAAACUUAAUAGGCAAUCCACUUGACGGCUUCCUUCCAAGUUCAAUAGGUAAUCUUUCUAUGUCCUUGGAAACACUUCUCAUCACCAAUUGCAGUAUUAGUGGCAACAUUCCUCAAGCAAUUUCAACCAAAUAUCUUUUUCAAAAUAAUUAGGGUGUUUUAAGCAAUUUGAAAAAUAAAUGGAGUAAUUAAAAUUAUUUAGUAGGUAAUUAACUUGAACGGUAGAGGGUAAGCGAACAUUUAUCCCAAUUAUAUUAUGAGAAAUCCUUUUCCGAUUAGAAUUAGGAAACCGAGGUAUACUGAUUUUUUUGUUUUUUUAAUUUCCCUAUGCGAAAACGGAUUAGAGAAUAAGAAAACAAUCCUAGUGAUAUUAUUGUUAGGUUUAAAACACUGCAUAGAUAGUAAAAAGCGAACUAGUCUGUAGAGUAAUUUGUUAAUUGCUAUCGCCUCUCCAUGCAUGGUGAAUAAUUUGUUGCAUGCAAACUUUUUAUGUAUAAGAAAAAAAUUCUGUAGUUUAAGAAAAACAAAAAGGCAUGUUGAAUAGAUUACAAUAGUUUAAGGAAAAAAAUUAUUCAAUUGGGAAUUUUUUUUUCUUUAAUUUUUGUUGUACUUGAUUGAGAUUUCUCCUUAUUCCUUACAGUUUUAAGUUUGGAUACCGUAGGAUUAGUAAUUUCGUACUUCCUUUGCAAGCUGAGUAUAAGGAAGAAAUUCUUUUAAGAAAUUAAAAAAGAUAAAAAAAAGGCAUACCAGUAGGCAAUUAUAAAUAACCACAAAUAAAUAUAAACAAAAUGUUUAUGAAGUAAAUUAAACAUGCACAUAUUAUUUUCUUUUAUUUUCUGCUUGGAAACCCAUAAAUACACUAAUCCAGUACUACUAAUUUCAAACAGAAAAAUUUGAACUCUGGGCUGCAGUUUGACUCAAAAUGAUGAUCACUGGCUUCGCACCAUUUAACCGGUAUACAUUUCUACAAACUGAACAAGGCUAUUGAUUAUUAUUAUUAUUUUAAUUUGUUUAUAAAUUACUACUUUAAUUUUCACUUUUUAUUGGGUUGUUUAACGGAUUGGUGAAGUUGGUGGUCGUUGAUGCACUCACAAUGUACAAUUUUAUUUUAUAAUUUCAAAUUGGUAUUUUAAAAUGCAGGUACAUUGUGUAUACAUAAUUAUUGAUUUUCGAAUGAGGGUGUUUUGAAAUAUUGCUAAAAGACCAAACUUUAAUAAACUAUUUUUGAUCUUUUUUUUCUUCCUAAAGUUUGGGUGAUAUGCGCAUUUUAAAUUCAUGUGUAACAAAAGUUAAUGUAUGUAUAAAAAUUCUUUUAUUUUACUGAGCAAAAUAGGCAAGCGAAAAAGUUUUGGCAAAUGAGUUGCAACUGAAUUCAAAACCAAUACAAUGCGAGCAUAGGAAAGAGGUCAGUGUUCAGGAUUUGAAUUUAGUAUUAAGCUGAAUUUUAUGGUAAGCUCUUUUAUAGUACUGUAAUUAGUAAGCUAAGCCCCGGAUUUGCUUUUGCUUUUGCUUUUACUUCAAGUGAAAGAAAGAGGAAACCUUUUGUUUUUUCUUUGGUUUUCAACUAUGUUACCUAUACAGAGAGUCAAGAUACCUGCCAUAAGUGAUGGUGUUAAAAAGAUUAAGCAGAGCACACAAUCUUACUGUCGUCUAGACCAUCCAGUGAUGACUCUAGUCUUUUGGUUACGUUAGUUUUAGUUGAAAGAAGGGCCAAUUUAACAAAGACUAGAUUUGAUGGCUCACUAUGUUUAAUGUAAUGCUAAUUCUCAGGGAAUCUAAUGUUAUAACUUAUAAGAUGAUCUCCUAUGUUGAAUAACAGUAACACAUUACUGUGAUUGAGAGAACACAGUUACAAUAAACUCUUCCUUUACUCAUUGCGGAGAUUUAAUAGCAAACAGAGAAUAGAAUGAAGCAGAGGAAUCUCAUUGCCAGUAAAAUUGACCCUCUUUAUUAUUAUAUGGCACAGGUGUGGAGGAAGAACAAGUUACUUGCAGUUUUUAUUGUAAAAUAUACAGGUAUGACCAUGAUCAUUAUAGUUAGGUUUUGAUGAUUUCAGAUGCUUUUUUUUUUUAAAAAAAAAUUGUGACAUCUUUGAUUUACGGUAGUUUUGCAGAAAAAAAUAUCUAAAAAUUAAGAGGGAUGAGUUAACUGACGAUUACAAUCAUUACAACAAUGCUGAUGAGUGAUACAUCACUUGAAAUUUACUUGUCAGUUGCUGAAAUGAUGGAAAAAAACAAUAAACGAUAACAAUAAUAAUGUUCCCUUGCUGAAAUUCAAUUUUGACUUUCGACUCUUGGCUUUUAUGGAAAGUAAAAUGACUUGUACAUUAUACUCAUACAAUCCACUCUACAUAAUGAUAUCAUUUUAAUAAGGCAAUGGCUGAUGAUCUCCAUUGAAAAACUACUUCAAUUUUUUUGCUUUAUUUAACUUUUUGGUUGUUGAAAAUAACCUUAAUUAUCAAAUAUUUGGAGAAAGACAAAGGGUGCUUGCAGAAGUGGCAAUAUAUAUAUAUAUAUAAAAGGAGAAGUUGAAGAGAAAGGGUGCUUGCAGAAGUGGGUGUCAAAGAUAAAUCGGUCCAUAAGAAUUAUUACGGUUAUUUUUUGGCAAUAUAAAAAUUUUUUAGCAAAUAAAAAUUAAUUUUUUUCCAAUUUACUAAAAAAUUAAUUAAAAACUUCUGCGAUGGCAUUUUUUAUGGGUGCAUAUACCCUCCCUUUAAAAGAAAAAAUAAUAAUUAAUACUUAAUAUAGUAUUAAAUACGAAAAUAUCAAUAUUUGACUACUCAAAUUUAUAUCAAUAGGUCCUUAAAAUUUAAAAUUGAAGAUACAAGAGGAAAUAUAUAUAAAUUUAAUUCUCAUCGGAAAGGAUCCUCUUAUAAUUUUAUAUAUUUGAGCUUUGAAAGAUUUUUUGAAACAAAUGUACUUUUAUUUAUGUACAAUCAAUAUUUACUUAUUCAUUAUAUAUUUAUUUACUAACUAUCAAUCAUGUUAAUAUAUUUAGUCAGAAAAAUCAUAUCAAGAAAAAAUCAUGAUCCCACGCACAGAUAAAUACGUUAAUUUCUAUACUAUUCACUUACCUGUGUAAUCAAUUAUCUAAAAUGCAAGUUUGUGGCUACGGAAAACUCUCCAAAGAAAGAAGAUAAUAACAAUUGAGCAUUGAUAGCAAAACUAAUGCAUCAUUUUCUUCUUGACUUGAUGAGAUGACGCCAUGAUGUAAAAACAAGUACCUAAAUUGACCGGCAUUGAGUGAUGUGAAUACUACCAGCCGGUUCAUCUCUUCCAGUCUUGCUUAGUUACAAUCACAAACACCACGAGAUCGACAUUUGCAUUAUAUAUAUCUUCAGCAGUCGAAACACCUUGCAUUACCAAUAAACCAGUAACAAACAAAGCAAUCUUUCAUGGAGAGAAACCUUAGUCUCAGUAUGAUCACUGUGUCAUUAACCCACUGCCUGCUUCUUUGCUUGGUUGUUGCAGCAGCAGCAGCAGCAAGCAGCAAUAUUCCCACAGACCAACAAGCUCUUCUUGCCCUGAAAGAUCAUAUAAUUUAUGAUCCGACCAACCUUUUAGCCCAUAAUUGGACCUCGAAUACCUCUGUUUGUACCUGGAUUGGCAUCACUUGUGAUGUCAAUAGCCAUAGAGUCACAACCUUAGAUAUUUCUCAAUUCAAUCUACAAGGCACCAUCCCUCCUCAACUUGGAAACCUCUCUUCACUCACAACACUUAAUCUUAGUCAUAAUAAGCUUUCUGGAAGCAUUCCCCCUCCAUCUACACCAUGCAUACGCUAAAAUUUCUAGACUCCACUGAUAACCAGCUCUCUGGUUCAGUGUCUUCCUUCGUCUUCAACAUGACUUCAAUAUUCGACAUUCGUUUGACCAAUAACAGACUUUCCGGUGAGCUUCCGAAAAAUAUUUGCAAUUACCUUCCUCAUUUGAAAGCCCUUUUUUUGGACAAAAACAUGUUUCAUGGAAAAAUUCCUUCUGCUUUAUCAAAGUGCAAACAACUGCAACAAUUAAAUUUGCAUUCCAAUAAUUUAUCCGGGGCAAUACCAAAAGAAAUCGGCAACUUGACUAUGCUCAAAGGGAUAGACCUCGGCUACAACAAACUCCACGGUAUGUUCAUAAUACUAUCUAAAUAUUUUAAUUUAUCACUUGUUAAUUUUCUUGAAUACCUUAGAUAAGAUCUUGUAAGUGAGAUUUUUUGCAUCUAUGUUAAUUUACCAGGUGAGAUACCACACGAAAUCGCUAAUCUUCGAAAUCUAGAGGCUUUAGUGCUUGGAAUGAACAACCUAGUUGGUAUGGUAUCAGCUACAAUCUUCAACAUGUCAACAGUGAAGGUGAUUAUCCUCAUAAAUAACUCUCUCUCUGGAAGUCUUCCAUCAAGAAUGGACCUUUCACUUCCAACUAUUGAGCAUCUUAACUUGGCACUUAAUAGAUUUUCUGGAACCAUUCCUAGUUCUAUCACCAAUGCUUCUAAGCUCACCUUUCUAGAGUUGGGAGGAAACACAUUUUCGGGCUUUAUUCCAAACACAUUUGGUAAUUUAAGAAACCUUGAGCUGCUCGACUUGGCUAAUAACUACUUGACAUCUUCAACCUCAAAAUUGAGCUUCCUUUCCUCUUUGGCAAAUUGCAAGAAAUUAAGAACCUUAAGAUUAAGUGGCAAUCCACUUGACGGCGUCCUUCCAAGUUCAAUAGGAAAUCUUUCUAAGUCUUUGGAAACACUUGUCAUCGUCAAUUGCAGUAUUAGUGGCAACAUUCCUCGAGCAAUUGGCAAUUUAAGCAACUUGUUGGCCUUAGUAUUAGAAGCCAAUAAAUUGACUGGACCAAUUCCAAUUACAUUCGGCCGACUACAGAAACUCCAAGGCUUAGAUCUUGCAUUCAAUAAGUUGGUAGGUUCAUUCCCAGAUGAGCUUUGCCAUCUAGCUAGGCUGGCUGAAUUGGUCUUAUUUGGCAAUAAGCUUUCAGGAUCUAUACCUUCAUGCCUAAGUAAUCUCACUUCUCUAAGAUCUCUCUACUUAGGGUCCAAUAGGUUUACUUCUGUUAUUCCCUCAACUUUCUGGAGCCUAAAAGACAUCUUGUUCUUUGACUUUUCAUCAAAUUUCUUGGUUGGUCCUCUUUCUUUAGACAUAGGAAAUUUGAAGGUGCUUGUAAGAAUAAAUUUAUCAAAAAAUAACUUAUCCGGUGAUAUCCCAGCCACAAUUGGAGGACUGAAAGAUCUUCAAUUUAUGGACGUAGCAUAUAAUAGAUUGGAAGGCCCAAUUCCUGAAUCAUUUGGUGACUUGACAAGUUUGGAGGUUUUGAAUUUGUCAAAAAAUAAAAUCUCUGGGUCUAUUCCAACAUCCAUGGAGAAACUCUUUUACCUCCGAGAGUUAAAUCUCUCUUUCAAUGAACUAGAAGGUGAGAUUCCCAGUGGAGGAAUUUUUGCCAACUUCACAGCUGAGUCAUUUAUGGGAAAUGAGUUAUUGUGUGGUUUACCAAGUCUUCAAGUCCAACCAUGCAAAGUUAGCAAGCCGAGGACAGAACAUAAAUCAAGGAAAAAGAUACUUCUCAUUGUGAUUGUUUUGCCAUUGAGUAUUGCUCUAACAAUAGCAAUCACACUAGCUCUCAAAUCUAAGCUGAUCGAAUGUGGAAAAAGAAGCACAGUGUUGUCAAAUGAUAGUGUCUUGUCAUCACAAGCAACACUAAGAAGAUUUUCAUACUUAGAACUUUUACAAGCAACAGAUAAUUUUGCUGAAAACAACGUAAUUGGCAUUGGAGGUUUUGGUUCUGUUUAUAGAGCAAGACUUGAAGAUGGGAUGAAGAUUGCAAUAAAAGUGUUUCACCAGCAAUGUGCAAGCGCAUUGAAGAGUUUUGAGGCUGAAUGUGAAGUGUUAAAAAAUAUUCGCCAUCGAAAUCUUCUCAAAGUUAUCAGCAGUUAUUCAAACAAUGACUUCAAAGCAUUAGUCCUAGAAUACAUGUCCAACGGGAGCUUGGGGGAUUGGCUGCAUUCUAGCAAUUAUAUGCUGAAUAUAUUUCAAAGGUUGAACAUAAUGAUUGACGUUGCAUCAGCUUUAGAAUAUCUCCACUUCGAUCAUUCAACUCCUAUCAUUCACUGUGACUUAAAGCCUAGUAAUGUAUUGUUGGACGAAAAUAUGGUUGCUCAUUUGAGUGAUUUUGGCAUAGCAAAGCUUUUAAGUGGAGAGGAUGAGUAUUUGAUGCGAACAAAAACCCUUGCCACUAUAGGUUAUAUGGCACCAGGUUUGCUUCAAACAAUUGUUUUUUUUUAAGUUCAUUUUAAAUUUUCCAAAUCAUUGAUUUUUACGAUCCUCACAUCAAAAUUUUCUUGAUUAUUUAUCUAAUUGUGAAAUUAAUUUUAUUCAUAGAGUACGGCAUAGAAGGAGAAGUAUCUACAAAAAGUGAUGUUUACAGCUAUGGGAUUAUGUUGAUGGAAACUUUUACUAAGAAAAACCCCACAGAUGAAAUUUUUGUUGGAGAAUUGAGCUUAAAGCGUUGGGUUAAUGACUUGCUUCCUACUUCAUUAGUGGAAGUUGUGGACAAAACUCUGCUAAGUGGAGAGGAAAAACAUUCUGCAGUAAAGGAGCAAUGUCUGUUGUCUAUCUUUAGUUUGGCUCUGGAGUGUACAAUGGAAUCACCGGAAAAGAGGAUUAAUGCAAAAGAUGUUGUUACCAGAUUACUCAAGAUAAGAGACACAUUGAGUAAAAGGAUAGGAAACUGAAGUUAAUUUCGUUUGCUUUCAUUGAUAGUUAAUUCAAAUUCAUGUAAUAAGUGUAAGAAUCUUAUAUCCUUUCCUUUGAUUUUUUUUUUUUUUUGAGAAAACUGUUGUAGUCAUCUUGUUUCACUGCCCCCAAUGCUUUGGACACCUACUGGUAGGUUUGUACGUGUCCUCAACUUUUUUUAGGAGCACAAAAUUCGAGUCCCAUGGAGACUCAAACAUUCCUUUCCCACAUCCCGAGCACGCUAAGUUCGAGUGAAAGAGAUUAAUUUACGGAAACUAAAGCCAAGAGAAUAAAGGACAACACUUAUGUGAAGCGACAUAAAUGUAUUGAUAGCACAAUGUCAAAUUCAUACAGAGAUCUAGUAUACUAUUUACAGCCGGUAAGGGCUAAGAAUUGAUGUAGCUAGAAUACAAAGACGAUAAGGUAUGUUGUGCACUAUUGUUUUAUUCUACGAUCAAUCUUGACCCUUGAUGCUUGGCUCUCAAUCUUGUCCAUUGAUCUUCUUUGAUUUUGUACACUUCAAGACCUUUCAGUAUCAUUCCUUGUUGUUGGUGUCUUCCGUGCUGUAGAAUUCAUAUACAAGCCUUCCCGCCGACUUGCGAAGUAUUCGUUCAUUGAUGCAUUUUUAUCAAACAGUUGGCCGACUUGCCAAGUAUCAUGCCUUGUUAUAGGUAGGCUUGGUAGGAUUAUGGGUCGGUCGGUAGAUGUACAUGUGUUAAAGCUUUUGAAUUUAUGCCAAUUGAAAAUAAAAAAGAAUCUACAUAAAUUUUCAACGAGGCUAUUACCACAAUAAGCAUUUGGAUGAAUUAUUAUUGAAUCCUUUCUGAGAAGUAGGACAUGUCAGACAUCAAAGCACUGAGAUAUCUUCAAAUAGUGGUAACCCCCACGCAACAAGGCACAAUAAAUUAUACAGAUAAAAUCCUUCACUCUUUCGUAAUCAUCAGUGUAGGCACGGUGAUGCGUCAGACAGAUAUGGGUCGGAUCCACUCCAGCUCCAUAUCAAGAUUCAUAAACCAUGACAAAAAUAGAGAAUCAUAGGUGUUGCAGAUAGUGAUGGUUGUUGAUGCACUCGUGAUUUAAAAUUUUAUUUUAUAUCUUCAAGUUCGCAUUUUAAGUGUCCUUUUUUUUAAUUUUUUAUUGUGAUCAUUAUAACUUGUCAAAUCUAUUUUUAAAUAAUUUUUUAAAAAUAUUUUAUUAACAAUGAUAUGAAAAUAUUCGAACACCUUUUCAUAGUAAAGUGAAUUAUUAUCCGACGAUCCAACUCAUGUUUUCAAAUUGUAAAUUGCAAAUCGUGUGUUUGCUCCAUUACAGAGUUUCAUCAAUUUGAAAUAGAGAAUCAUUUGUGUUCUAGAUUAAUCGAGGGUCUAUAUCCAAAUCUAAAAAUUGACUAACUUGGUUUCUAUUAAAUUCUUAAUCCUAACAAGAAAAAUAGAAGAUUAAAAAUGACUAAUUUGGUUUCUAUUAAUUUGAGUAACGAUCGAAUUACCUAAUUUAUUAAGAUUUAUCAAAAUCCUAUGUCAAAAUCCAUUAAUGAUAUAGGUUCAAUGACGAAAUAGUCACUUGUUAUUAUUUUUGACUUCAUAAAUAGAUGAACGGAUGUUAUUUUUGGAUUCUGGAGAAUCGAAAAUAUCAGGAUAGGUGAUAAAUGGAAUUAAGUUGUAGAUAAGAUAGAAAUGGAUUUGGAGAGAGAUUGGAAUCCUGGGUAAUCCGGAGUACGUUGUUGUGUUGAAUGCUCGUUGACUUCACGUUGACUGAAACAUUAUUGGAAGAAGUGAGCAAGCUUAUUUUCUUCUCUCAUUUUUUAAAUUUGUCUUAAGUUUAUUGAUGUGAGGCCUUUGAGAUUGUAAGUUUCAAAUCUGAGAAGAAUAACCACACACCCAUUAUCCUAUUACUCUUAUUUUAUCACAUGAAGAGAAUUCGAAGUUUGAUAAAUUUGUGAGGAUUGUGAGGGUUGAUGCAAUAUAAUUUAGAUGCAAAGUGUUUACAAGUACGAUGCUUCAUAAGUGUUCUUGAAUCAUUAUAAACUCACGUUAUUUUUAUAAUGAUUGUUUCAUCUGCACAUGGAUAUAAUCAUAUGUUGAGAUUUUUUCCUAAAUUAUGGUCUUAUUUGGUAUUGAGGUGUUAGAUCUUUUAAGUUACAAUUACUAUUGGAAAAAAAAGUGCAACUAUGAAAUAAAAGUUAAUAUUGUGUACUAAAUAUAAUUGUUAAAUAAUAAUUUUGACAAAAUUAGUGAAGAUAUAUAGGUUUUUUUUUAAUCAUCUAAGUGUAAAAUCAAAUCAACUUAACUUCUAAACUAUAUAGCAGCUACUGUUUACCAAAUACUUUAGUACUGUAACUUUUAAGUUAUAGCUGCCUAACCUCAGUCUCAAACAAUGGCUAUAAAGAUCAAAGAUUUCCUCAUAAAAAUUAUACGUCUUGUGAUUGCUUAUUUAAUUUAUAUUUUUUUAUUUAUCUUUAUUAAUUACAGUCAUCUUUUAAUAAAUUACAAUUGCAGGAAGUUGAUGUUCGAAGUGCUUAUGUCGACUCAAAGUUGUUGGGAAUUAAUGCAUGUAUUGAUUUAUUGGGAGUGUUUAAAUGAUUUUGUGAUUUACUUGAUUGAUUGAUUGAAUAAUGUUUGAUUGCUUCAUAUCCGUUCUAGAAAGUUUAUUUCUUUGUGAAAUUUCAAUGAAAUAUGUUUUUUUAAAUUAUAAGGGUUUUUUAAGUAAUUUUAAAAAUAAAUGAACUAAUAAGGAUUAAUUAUUAGGUAAUUAACUUGAACUAUACAGGGUAAGCGAACAUGUAUCCUAAUUAUAUCAUGAUAAAUCCUUUUCCGAUCAGAAUUAGGAAACCAUAAGUAUAUUGAUUUUUUUUUCCAAUUCUCCUUUGCGAAAACGGAUUACAGAAUUAGAAAACAAUCCUAAUGAUAUUAUUGUUAGGUUUAAAACACUGCAUAGAUAGUAAAAAGCUAACUAGUUCGUAGAGUAAUUUGUUAAUUGCUAUCGCCUCUGCCUGCGCGGUGAAUAAUUUGUUGCAUGCAAAUUUUUUAUUUUAUGCAAAUCGUACUGAACAUUGGAAUUGAUGUAUAAGCAAAAAUACAAGAGUAUUUAUGUCAAUACAAAUUUUUUUUUUCCAUUUUAAAUAAACACAACGCGAUGUUUAUCUGCUCCGCGUUUUUGCAAUCUGUUUAUUCGUUGUUUAUUUGCUUCUUAAGGCCUCAAACUUUGAUAACCAAAAAUUUCACCAAACUAUGAAAAAUAUUCUGCAGGUUAGUUUUUAUUUUCGGAAUAAUUAUUUGAGAAUACUAAAACACAAUAUAAAAUAAGAAAAUAGGGGGUUAAAAUUUGAAAAAAAAACAAAAGGGCAUGUUGGAUAGAUUACUGUAGUUUAAGAAAAAAAUUAUUCAGUUGGGAAUUUUUUUUCUUUAAUUUUUGUUUUACUUAAUUGAGAUUUCUCCUUAAUCCUUACAGUUUUAAAUUUGGAUAACAUAGGAUUAGUAAUUUAGUACUUCCUUUGCAAGCCGAGGUUAAUGAUGAAAUUCUUUUAAGAAAAAAGAUAAAAGAGCAUACCAAUAGUCAAUUAUAAAUAACCACAAAUAAAUACAAACAAAAUGUUUAUGAAGUAAAUUAAAAAUGUGCAUAUUAUUUUUUUUUUAUUUCUUACUAAUCUUUGUAUUUGCUGCUUGAAAAACCAUAAAUACACAGAUGACCAUUGGCUUCGCACCAUUUAAUUGGGAUACAUUUCUACGUACAAACUGAACAAGGCUAUUGAUUUUUAUUAUUAUUUUUAUUUAUUUAUAAAUUACUAUUUCAAUUUUCACUUUUUAUUGGGUUGUUUAAUGGAUUAGUGAGGCUGGUGGUCGUUGAUGCACUCACAAGGUACAAUUUUGUUUUCCAAUUUCAAAUUCGUAUUUUAAAAUGCAGCACAUUAUGUAUACAUAAUUAUUGAUUUUCAUAUGUGGGUGUUUUGAAAUAUUGCUAAAAGACCAAACUUUAAUAAACUAUUUUUGAUCCUUUUUUGUUUCUUUUUUCCUAAAGUUUGAGUGAUAUCCGCAUUUUUAAAAGCUAAUGUAUGCAAAAAAUUCUUUUAUUUUUCUGGGGAAAAUAGGCAAGAGAAAACGUUUUGGCAAAUGAGUUGCAACUGAAUUCAAAACCAAUACGAUGCGAGCAUAGGAAAGAGGUCAGUGUUUUGGAUUUGAAUUUAGUAUUGAGCUGAAUUUUAUGUUUAACACAUGAUUCUAUUAUAGUACUGCGAUUAAUAAGCUCAGCCCCGGAUUUGCUUUUGCUUUUGCUUUUACUUCAAGUGAAAGAAAGAGGAAACCUUUUGUUUUUUCUUUGGUUUUUGACUAUGUUACCUAUACAGAGAGUCAAGAUAUCAGCCAUAAGUGAUGGUGUUAAAAAGAUUAAGCAGCGCACACAAUCUUACUGCUGUCUAGACCAUCCAAUGAUGACUCCAGUCUUUUGGUUACAUUAGCUUUAGUUGAAAUAAGGGCCAAUUUAGCAAACACUAGCUUUGGCGGCUUACUAUGUUUAAUGUAAUGCUUAUUCUCAAGGAAUCUAAUGUUAUAAGAUGAUUGAAUGAUCUUCUAUGAUUGUGAGUAGUAUAGGAUAAUUGAAAAGAGCCUGGCUCCUAUGAUAAAUAACAGUAACACAGUACUGUGAUUGAAAAAGUUCAGUUACAAAAACUUAGUUACAGUAAACUCUUCAUUUAUUCAUUGCGGAGAUUGAAUGGCAAAAAGAGAAUAGAAUGAAGCAGAGGAAUCUCAUUGCCAAUAAAAUUGACCCUCUUUAAUGUUAUAUGGCACAGGUAUGUUUACAUCAAGAACAAGUUACUUACAGUUUUUAUUGUAGUUAAGUUUUGAUGAUUUCAGAUGCUUUUUUUUUUUAAUUGUGACACCUUUGAUUUAUAAUAAUAUUGCAAAUAUAUAUAUAUAUAUAUAUUAGUAGUUUUUUGGUCCGAAAUUUUAAAGUGUGAGAAAGUAUGAGAAAGCUUUAAAACCGCACGGUGUUAAAGGCUUACAGUUUUAAGCAUUUUAAUCCAUGCGGUUUUAAAGUUUUACUGGAUUUUUCCGCACUUUAAAAUUCCAGACUGAAACAUUUCUGUAUAUAUAUACAUAUAAAUAUAUAAAUUAAGAGGGAUGAGUUAACUGAAGAUUAUAAUCAUUACAACAAUGCUGAUGAGUGAUACAUCACUUGAAAUUUACUUAUCAGUUGCUGAAAUGAUGAAAAAAAAACAAUAAACAAUAACAGUGAUAAUGUUCUCUUGCUAAAAUGACUUGUAUAUUAUACAAUCCACUCUACUUAAUGAUAUCGUUUUAAUAAAUGUUUGAUGAUCUCCAUUUAAAAACUACUUCAAUUUUUUUCUUCAUUUAACUUUUUGGUUGUUGAAAAUAACCUUAAUUAUCAAAUAAUUGGAGAAAGAGUAAAGAACAUUUAACAAAUUUAUGUGUAAAAAAAAAAAGGAGAAGUUGAAGAGAAAGGGUGCUUGCAGAAGUAGGUGUCAAAGAUAAAUCGGUCCAUAGGAAUUAUUUGUUGAGAUAUAAUUAAUAAUCUAGUAAAUUGAGCAAGAAGUUUGAAGGGUUAUUUGGUUUGUUUUUCAACAUGAAGUAAAGGGUAGAAUUGAUGUUUGCAAUGUAGCUUUGGAAAUGUAAAGCAUGAUUAAUGUAAUCUCUAGAGUUGUCUAUAAUGCAUAUAAAUAUAGAACUCUGGUUGUAUGAAAAGUAAGAGAGAAACGAAAAAAUGAAUUAAGCAAUAAAGUUUCAGAAAUUUCCAGCAAAAUACUCUGUUCUUAAAUAAAAAUUUUUCUGCACUUCCGCUUGCACCCAACAAAUUUGGUAUCAGAGCUAUUCCAAAACACCCUCAAAAUGACAUCAAACUUCUCCCUGUUUUGAGCUGGAAUAAGAGCAGAAAGCUGUGGGAAAAGGCACUAUUGCUGUCCAUACAAAGGAAGGUACUGAUUUCCUUAUUGUUUGCCUUUAUGUUGAUGCUGCAACAACAAUUUAUUGUGACAACAUGUCAGCCAUUGCUCUAACAAAGAACCCCGUAUUUCAUGCUAAAUCUAAGCACAUUGAGCUGCGUUAUCACUACAUCCGUGACUUAGUAAACAAAGGAGAAGUUAAUAUGGAGUUUAUCAGCACUAAUGAGCAGCCAUCAGAUUUUCUGACCAAAGCAAUCAACAUUGAGAAGUUUGAAAAAUUCAAGAAGCAAUUGAAGAUUACUAAUUAAGAGGGGGUGUUGAGAUAUAAUUAAUAAUCUAGUAAAUUGAGCAAGAAGUUUGAAGGGUUAUUUGGUUUGUUUUUCAACAUGAAGUAAAGGGUAGAAUUGAUGUUUGCAAUGUAGCUUUGGAAAUGUAAAGCAUGAUUAAUGUAAUCUCUAGAGUUGUCUAUAAUGCAUAUAAAUAUAGAACUCUGGUUGUAUGAAAAGUAAGAGAGAAACGAAAAAAUGAAUUAAGCAAUAAAGUUUCAGAAAUUUCCAGCAAAAUACUCUGUUCUUAAAUAAAAAUUUUUCUGCACUUCCGCUUGCACCCAACAUUAUUUUGGUUAUUUUUUAGCAAUAUAAAAAUUUUUUAGCAAGUAAAAAUUAAUUUUUUUCCAAUUUACUAAAAAAUUAACUAAAAACUUCUGCGAUAGCAUUUUUUAUGGGUGCAUAUACCUCCCUUUAAAAAAUAUAUAAUAAUUAAUGCUUAAUAUAGUAUUAAAUACGAAAAUAUCAAUAUUUGACUACUCAAAUUUAUAUCAUUAGGUCCUUAAAAUUUAAAAUUGAAGAUACAAAAGGAAAUAUAUAUAAAUUUCAUUCUCAUGGGAAAGGAUCAUCUUAUAAUCUUAUAAUAUUUGAGUUUUGAAAUAUUUUUUUGAAACAAAUGUACUUUUAUUUGUGUACAAUCAAUAUGUACUUAUUUAUUAUAUUUUUAUUUAUUAACUAUCAAUCAUGUGAGUAUAUUUAGUCAGAAAAAUUAUAUCAAGAGAGAACCCUAAUUUCACGUAAAGACAAAUACAAGACAAAUAUGGCAAUUUCUAUACUAUUCACUUUCCUGUAGAAUCAAUUAUCUAAAAUGCAAGUUUGUGGCUUCAAAAAACUCGCCAAAGAAAGAAGAUAAUUACAAUUGAGCAUUGAUAGCAAAUCUAAUGCAUCCAAUUCUUCUUAACUUGAUGAGUGACGUGAAUACUAGCAGUCUGUAACGCCCAAAUUUUUAUUAUUUUAUUUAUUUUUUAAUGGAAUUUAUAAAUGACAUUUUUGCCCUUAUAAAAACGGUUAUUCAUGGAAUAAUUUUUAGGAAAGGGUUAUUUUUCCAAAUUCAAUAGGGUUUCUUAAGACUCCCUAUAAAUUCAUAUUUUUCUCCUUCCAUAACCCUAAAAGCACGACGUUUCUUCUUCUUCUAUGCUGCUCAUUACGCUCUUACCCAAACCCUAGGAUUCAAACCUUUGGUUAAGAGAGAAUCAAAGCGAUUGGUAAGUUUAUUCCCCUUAUUCUCCACAAGAUUCCCAAUCACUCUAUCUAGGGUUUAUAUUGGCACGAUUUUAGAUUGUUAUAGAUCAUAAUGCAUGAUUUAGAAUGUGUUUAGGCUUUGUUUAGAGUUUUGAUUUAUUAUGAGUUUAGUUAAUCAACCUUGACGUAUUAAGCACAUAGAAUAGUUCCAUAGAAUAUUAUGUUAUUCUGAGUUUUAGAUUAAGAGUUAAAAUUCUGAGCAUCGGACCUGUACGGGUACGAAUUAAAAAAACCAGGUUCUUAGAAUAAGUUAUUAAUUGUCAUAUAUUGUAUUUGUUUAAGGCGUUGGAGGUGAUUGAGGCUCUUAGAGGGUUAGAGGUGUGUUAAUUCAAAUUCUUUUGUCAAGUUAAGUAACUUUAUUCCUAAUGUACUGGAUAUAUAUAUAUGAUUAUUUUGAUAUUAUUAUAAGUAUACGAAUUUUUUUACUACUUAGAAGAUUAAUGGAUUUUCAUAACAAAAUCAGUUUGUGUAAAUGUUUUCAAACCUAAAUUCUUUUUAAUAAAUUAUUUUGUAAAGGCUUUUAAAUAUGUAAGUUAUUUUAUGACAUGACUACCUUUUAUAAUUUUGUCUAUGAAAUAUUUGCAAGCCUAAAUUGUGGUUAUGGACUUUCAUGAAACUGAUACAAAUGUUUUGUACCUAUGUAUGAUUUCAAUUAUUUAUGAUUGUACGGGGGCCACCUCUUGGGACUAUAUGGGGGCCACCUCUUGAAAGCCAAAGCAUCGCAAAGUGCCACAUAUAAGUCAUUAUGUUUUGGCUCAUUGUCCAUAGUUAUUCUGAUUCUGAUUCUGAUCGUAUAAUACGAUAUAUGUCUGUUCUGGACCAGUACUGGGUUUUUGUUUUGAGUGUGCACACGAUAUUCUGAUUCUGUUUUUGGCCGAGUCACCAGGACUAUAGGUGACACUAUGUGACAUGAGCUAACCUUUUGUUUUAUGUGAAUGUGAUAUAUGAUUUGCUUUUGUAAGUAACUAUACUUUUGAUAUUCUGAGUUACAAUGAAUUUAAAUUAUUUUAUAGUGAUAUAUCGUUUUAUGAAAUUUAUGGAUUAUGAUAUAUGUUUUAAUUAAAAGAAGGCUUGCAAUAUUUUUGGUAUCGAUAGGCCUAGUGUGUUAGGAAUAGUUUUACUUACCGAGUUGACGGCUCACCCCUCGUCAUUACUUUUUGCAGAUUAAAUUUCUUUUGAGAGGUGCCCUUAGCUUUGGAGUUAGUAAUUUUCUGUUUCCGUUUGCCAUUUGAAUAAGAUGAGGAAUAGACUCAUGUUUCUAUUUAGUUUAUUUCUGUUAUGGACGUGUAAUUUGGAGUUUGAGACUUUUGUUAUUUUUUUUAUGUCCUCGGGAGAGAUUAUUUAGUAUUAGACGUUUGAAUUUGUGGAUUUAUUCGAAUAAGAAUUUGAGGUAUUUCAGUUUGAAACUUAUGAGUAAAGAUUAUGAUUUGUAAGUAACCUCCUUCUUCACGUGCUCCGCACGUGUUAGAUUUGGGGUGUUACAAUUGUGGUAUCAGAGCAUUAGGUUUGGGAUUCUGUAGACUUUAUUUGAGACUAGAUUUCUUAAGCACAAUCAAUUAGUUCAAUGGUAUUGCUUGCCAUGAGGUUAUCAGAAAGAGUAGAUCUUUAAGGCGAGGAGUAAUUUUGGUCUUUUUGAUUUUCUAGUUGCUUGUGACUUUGUAAUAACUCCUUGAUAUAGGAUUUUGGUAUUAACGUAGAAUGAAAUAUUUGUUUGCUCUUGUUGUCAAUCACUAAUGUUUCUCAGUUAUACUACUUACUCAGUACUUUGCGCACUAGCAAGGCCUUUAACUAUGAAUUAUUUACCGUUUUAUUUAUUUAUUUAUUUUUAUUCUUCGUGUUAUAGUCAAAAGAUGUUGCGUAGGGGAGGUGCUAGGCAUGCCUCUAGCUCGAGAGAUGUUUUAGGAAUCGCUGAUGACGUUGACCCAACCUUGCGUGAGAUGGCUAACGAAGGGAAUCCUAUGAUGCGCGCAAUGGUUAGAUUGAUGGAACAACAAAGUAAGUUGAUUCAAGAUAUGGCUAGAGGUAAAGUUGGGGCACAGGAGAAUGUGCCAGUUGAAAGACAAGGUGGUGGAAGAGAUCAGGGAGGUAUGAUGAGCUUAGAGCGGUUUAGGAAAUUGGGACCACCUACCUUUCAGGGGACUGCCGAUCCUAUGGUUGCAGAGGCAUGGUUAAGACAGAUGGAGAAAAUAUUUAUGGCUAUGGGUUGUAAUGAUGAUCAUAGGGUGAUAUUGGCCUCAUUCGUCCUUUAGGGCGAGGCAGACCACUGGUGGGAUGCCAAAUCCCGUCUUUUGAGGGCCGGGUUACAAGAUGCACCUAUUACUUGGGAGUUAUUUCUGGAGGCUUUUCAUGAAAAAUAUUUUCCUGAACGAGUUCGACAUCAGAUGGAGGUUGACUUCCUGAAAUUGACUCAAGGAACAAAGUUUGUUGCGGAGUAUGAGGAGCAAUUUACUGCUCUAUCUCAUUUUUCUCCUACCUUAGUUGCUAAUGAGGGUAGUAAGUGUAGGAAAUUCUUGGAAGGGUUACAUCCAAACAUCAAAAGACGGUUGACCAUCCUUAAGCUUAAUAAUUAUGCCGAUUUGGUGGAUCGUGCGAUUAUUGCAGAGAGGGAUAUAAUUCAAUCUCAAGUUGCACGAUCUAAUCGACAUAAUAACCAGCCAAUAAAACAUGAUAGUAAUGGUAGCGAAGGUGAACAUAAGGACUCUAAUGGUGGGUCUAUUCAAGAGAACAAACCAUUCUGUAAUCGUUGUGACAAGUACCAUAAUGGCACGUGCUAUUUAAAGAUAGAAGCUUGUUUUGGCUGUGGAAAGAUGGGGCAUAAGGUUAUAGAUUGCCCAAAAAAGCGCAGUGGUAACAUAGAUUCUGCCGAGAACCAAAGGAAAAAGCCAUGUGUCUUCGCCAUGGUGGAGCAAGAUAUUAAGAAACCGAAUAACGAAGCCUCAGGUGCAUUACCUAUUUUCCAUAGAAAGCCUUGAAUUUUUGAGUAAUUGGUAUUGUGCUUUUCCUCCAUCCUUUCUGAUUGGAUGCAUCGUAGCUAGAGUUUUUAGCCUAAUAAUUUCUUUUUUCAUCCAUUGAAUUUCUAUGGUACAUUAGUAGGAUAUGACGUGUGAUUUUAUAAGGCCAUUAGGAUUAACUUAUGGUUGGAUGGAGUAGGGACUAAUAUGAUAUUUAGUAGGAUAUGUGAUGAAGAUUGCAAUAAAAGUGUUUCACCAGCAAUGUGCGAGCGCAUUGAACAGUUUUGAAGUUGAAUGUGAAGUGAUAAAAAAUAUUCGCCAUCGAAACCUUAUCAAUGUUAUUGGCAGUUGUUCGAACGAUGACUUCAAAUCAUUAGUCCUAGAAUACAUGUCCAACGGGAGCUUGGAGGAUUGGCUGCAUUCUAGCAAUUAUGUGCUUAAUAUUUUUCGCAGGUUGAACAUAAUGAUUGACGUUGCAUCAGCUUUAAAAUAUCUCCACUUCGAUCAUUCAACUCGUAUCAUUCAUUGUGACUUAAAGCCUAAUAAUGUGUUGUUGGGUGAAAAUAUGGUUGCUCAUUUGAGUGAUUUUGGCAUAGCAAAGCUUUUAAGUGGAAGAUGAGUCUACGAUGCGAACAAAAACCCUUGCCACUAUAGGUUAUACGGCACCAGGUUUGCUUGAAACAACUUUUUUUUUUAGUUUAUUUUAAAAUUUCCAAAUUAUUGAUUUUUACGAUCCUCAUAUCAAAAUGUUAUUGAUUAUUUAUCUAAUUAUGAAAUAAUUUAAUUCAUAGAGUAUGGCAUAGAAGGAGAAAUAUCUGCAAAAAGUGAUGUUUACAGCUAUGGGAUUAUGUUGAUGGAAACUUUUACCAAGAAAAAACCCACAGAUGAGAUUUUUGUUGGAGAAUUGAGCUUAAAGCGUUGGGUUAAUGACUUGCUUCCUAAUUCAUUAGUGGAAGUUGUGGACAAAAUUCUGAUAAUUGGAGAGGAAAAACAUUUUGCCGCAAAGGAGCAAUGUCUGUUCUCUAUCUUUAUUUUGGCUCUGGAGUGUACAAUGGAAUCACCGGAAAAGAGGAUCAAUACAAAAGAUAUUGUUACCAGAUUACUCAAGAUAAGAGACACAUUGAGUAAAAGGAUAGGAAAUUUAAGUUAAUUUUGUUUGCUUUCAUUGAUAGUUACUUUGAAUUCAUGUAAUAAGUGUAAGAAUCGUUUAUCUUUUCUUUUGAUAUUUUUUUCUUGAGAAAACUGUUGUAGUCAUCUUUUUUCAAUGGGCAGAGUUGAUUUAGUUCUUCCAAGAAAUGCUAUUGUUGAUCUUUGUUAUAUACUUUUGUCUUUUUUUGCAUGCAUUUAGGUAGAAUAGUGGUCUAGCUGCAGGCUAACAAGUCAAGCUACGCUAAAAGGGUAUGAUUUAAUUUAUUAAACCUAACUUCAAGUUCAAGAAUUGUAUCUCAUUGCCACCAAUGCUUUAGACACCUAUUGGUAGGUUUGUGUCCUCAACUUUGUUUAGAGCAAAAGUUCCAGUCCCAUGGAGGCUCAAAUAUUCCUCUCCUACGUCCCGAACACACUAAAUUCAUCAGCCUCUUGAACCCUCUCCUGAGGGCGCCUUCUGUCCUCUGUUUUCUGUUUCCAUACACAAAUAGCAAAAAGAAUUCAGAAUGACAACUGGGACAUAUAUAAGAGUGAAAUAAUUAAAAAAAAUUAUGCUUUUUUGUUUGUCGUGUUAAAAUCGUAAGGUAUCUAAGUACUAUGAAAGAGAUUAGUUUACGAAAACUGAAGCCAAGGGUUCAUAAAAAAGUGCAAAGAGAAUAAAGGACAACGCUUAUGUAAAGCGACAUAAUUGUAUUGGUAGCACAAUGUCACGUUCAUACAGAGAUCAAGUACAUUAUUUACAGCUGGUAAGGGCUAAGAAUUGAUGUAGCUAGAAUACAAAUAUGAUAAGGUAUGUUGUGCACUAUUGUUUUAUUCUACAAUCAAUCUUGACCCUUGAUGCUUGGCUCUCAAUCUUGUCCAUUGAUCUUCUCUGAUCUCGAAAACUUCAAGACCUUUCAAUCUCAUGCCUUAUUAUUGGUAUGUUCUAUGCUGUUAAUUUCAAAUACUAGCUUUUCCGCCAACUUGCCAAUUAUUUGUUCAUUGGUGCGUUCUGUCAAACAGUGUGGAUACUUAUACCAAACGCUUUCUGUUUUAACUCCCCCUUUCAAGCUCAACUAUCUGGGAAGACACUAAUAAGCUUGUUUCUCAAGUAUAUGUAUCUGAAAAUUAAAUUUUCAAAAUUAUAUUCGGACUCUACAUUUUCUAAUGAACAUUGGUUUGGCUCAUAAGCUUAUUAUACUUGGGCUUGGUAGGAUUAUCGGUCGGUAGAUGAACAAGUGUUAGAGCUUUCGAAUUUAUGCCAAUUAAAAAAAAAUCUAUAUAAAUUUUCCACUAGGCUAUUACCACAAUAAACAUUUGGAUGAACUAUUAUUGAAACCUUAUUGAGAAGUAGGACAUGUCGCAUACCAAUGCACUGACAUAUCUUCAAAUAGUGGUAACUCCACACAACAUGGCACAAUAAAUUAGAGUUAUAUAGAUAAAAUCUUUCACUCUUUGGUAAUCAUCAAUGUCGGCAUGGCAAUGCGUCCGACAAAAUUCAUAAAUCAAAACAAAAAUAGAGAAUCAUAUUUGUUUCAGAUUGUAGUGAUGGUUGUUCAUAAUUCACAAUUUUAUUUAAUAUCUUCAAAUUCGCAUUUUAAAAUGCACAAAUGUUUGUGUAUACAUAAUUAGUAAUCGAUUCUCAAGCUUGGACAUUUAAAAGCACUGCUAAAAGACAAAAUUUUAAUUCACUAUUUUUUGUCUUUUAAUUUUCUUUAAGUUUUAAUGAUUCCGCAUUUUAAAAUCCUGUGGAACGUACAUGUAAAAUUCUUUUAUCUUUUAGAGGAAAAUGGGCAAGAGAAGAAGAUUUGGCAAAGGAAUUGCAACCGCAUUUGGAGCUAGUUUUAAUUUUGUCUUUUAAUUCUUUUACACUUGGCUUUUGUUAUUGAUGUCAACUUCGAUGUGUGUGCGUGUGCGACUGAAUUCAACUUACAUGCUAUUGAUGCAGCCACCAAAAAGGGGUGGUCCAUCAUCAAUCAACAAGGUUUAUUAUUAUUUCCAUAUUGAUUUUCUUAAUUAUAAAUAAUACUAAUGUUAUUUCAUAGUUAUAAAUAUAUUAGAAUUAAUCGAAAUCAUUUUUUAGUGUGGCAUGGCUAAAACUACCUUUUUUUUUUAUAAGUAAUUACUACUUUCACAUUAAGAAAAAUACUCCUAUUUUUAAGGAAAAGUCAAGUACCUGUAGUUGUGAAGACUCAAGCUCACUCCCUUAUGAUAAAUCUUCAUAUUAAUUACGUAAAUAUCCUCUAAAAUUUUAAAUUAGCUAUUCAAAAUUUGAUGUUAUACGGGUAUUUCAUUUAUUUGAGUAGGGGUUAGGGGUCAAUUGGAUACAAAUUCAAAAUUAUCCUUACUUGAGAAGGUGAUAAAAAUUGGGGAUUUAGUUUGGAUGUCAUUAGCUACAAAUAUUAAACUCAUACAUUUAAUUCAAAAUUAGAGGGCUGAUAUGUGCGCAUCAUCGUCCACGUUAUAGUGACACUGCGUCACCAUUCCACAACCUCUCCAAUGAAAAAUUGACAUGCUUCUUGUGCGCAUCUAAUCAGAAUCUUGAAAAUUAAUCACAAAAUUGUACUUUUAUUAUAAAAAGAAUAAAGAAACUCCAAGAAAAAAAAAAAGACUUACAUAAAUAGAUUGAAAAAUCUAGAUUUCAAGUUGUCUAUAUUAGCUUGAUAUUUUUAUUAAUAGUCAUCCUCCCAAAAAAAUUCCAUCAAAAUAUAUUUUAAUUUUAUGUUAAUUCAUAAACAUGAAAAAAUCAUUUUAGAAUUAAUUAAAACAUAAUUUAUUGUUGCUCAAAAAAGGUAGAACUUAGUUAUCAGAAAAAAGUGUCUAAAAUAUAUGUUAAAAAAAAAUCAUGGUUGGUUGGACUGAUUGAAUUUUUUUUUUCUUUUUUAAGAAUUAAGACAAUUGGAUGGAUUGAGUAAUAAUAAUACAUAUUUAUUUGGCAAAUGGCAGGGAGGCUUUCGUCUGAUGCAGAUUGAUUAGAGAGAAAAUAUAACAAUUUUAAGCUCGUCAGAUUCGAAGCUGCUUACCUGUCGUGUGGGGAUCACUUCCGUGUCUUAUUUUUCUAGAAAAAUCUGGACCAUUGGAUUUACCAUUAGUCAAUAGAGAAAUGUUGAUCUUGAUUCUUGAUCAAGAUCGAAGUUUGAUUCUAACUAACACGAUAUCAGAUUGCGAAGCAAGCAAAUUGAAAGUCACUUGUUCUAUGGAAGAAACACAAGUUCUAAUAAAACAUUCUCAUAGUAAAGUGAAUUACCAUCCAACGAUCCAACUCAUGUUUUCAAAUUGUAAAUUGCAAAUCGUGUGUUUGCUCCAUUACAGAGUUUCUUCAAUCUGAAAUAGCGAAUCAUUUGUGUUCUAGAUUAAUCGUGGGUCUAUAUCCAAAUCUAAAAAUUGACUAACUUGAUUUCUAUUAAAUUCUUAAUCCUAACAAGAAAAAUUGAAGAUUAAAAACGACUAAUUUGGUACCAUACCACUAUUGUAACAUAGGUAGAUCCUCUAUUAAUUGGAGUAAAGAUUGAAUUAUCUCAUUUAUUAAGGUUUAUCAAAAUCUUGUGUCAAAAUCUAUUAAUGAUAUAGGUUCAAGGAUGAAAAAGUCACUGCAUUACUUUUGAGUUCCCAAAUAGAUGAAUGGAUGUUAUUUUUAGAUUCCGGAGAGUCGAAAAUAUUAAGAUAGGUGCUAAAUCGAAUUAAGUUGUAGAUACGAUAGAAAUGGAUUUGGAGAGAUUGGAAUCCUAGGUAAUCCGGUGCACGUUGUCGUGUUAAAUUCUCGUUGACUUCACGUUGACUGAAGCAUUAUUGGAAGAAACAAGUUUAUUGAUGUGAGGCCUUUGAGGUUGUAAGUGUUAAAUCUGAGAAGAAUACCCACACACCCAUUAUCCUAUUACUCUUAUAUCACAUGAAGAGAAUUCAACAUUUGAUUCACACGGAAAAAAUUUGUGAGGAAUGUGAGGGUUGAUGGAAUAUAAUUUAGAUACAAAGUGUUUACCAGUGCGAUGCUUCGCAAGUGUUCUUGAAUCAAUAUAAACUCACAUUAUUUUCAUAGUGAUUGUUUCAUCUGCACGUUAAUAUAAUCACAUGUCGAGAUUUUUUUCCUUAAAUUAUGGUCUUAUUUAGUAUUGAGGUGUUAUAUCUUUUAAGGUACAAUUAUUGUUGGAAAAAAGUUACAACUAUCAAAUAAAAUUAAUACUAUGUGCUAAAUAUAAUUGUUAAAUAAUAAUUUUGACAAAAUUAGUGAAGUUAUAUAGAUUUUUUUCAUCAUCCAAGUAUAAAAUCAAAUCAACUUAACUUCUAAGUUAUAUAUCGGCUACUGUUUAUCAUAUGUUUUAGUUUUGUAACUUUUAAAUUAUAGUUACCCAACCUCAAUUCUAAACAAGACCUAUAAAGAUCAAAGAUUUCCUCAUUAAAUUAUAUGUCUUGUGAUUGCUUAUUUAAUUUAUAUUUUUGUUAUUUAUCUUUAUUAAUUAUAAUCAUCUUUUUAUAAAUUAAAAUUGAAGGAAGUUGAUUGAUGUUGUUGACACACACACGCACGCGCACGCACACACUCACAAAGAUAUAUUGGAAGUGCUUACGUCGACUCGAAGUUGUUGGGAAUUAAUGCAUGUAUUGAUUUAUUGGGAGUGUUUAAAUGAUUUUGUGAUUUACUUGAUUUAUUGAUUGAAUAUUGUUUGAUUGCUUCAUAUCCAUUCUAGAAAGUUUAUUUCUUUGUGAAAGUUCAACGAAAUAUGUUUUUUUUUUUAAAUAAGGGUGUUCUAAAUAAUUUUAAAAAAUAUAUGCUUGUCUUCCCAAAAUAGCCUUUGAAUACACAAGUAAAUGUCUAGCCUUUGGUGAGGAUAGUUUGGUCAUUGCAUUUUACAAGUAAGAUGAGUGGUGGAGAAAAAUGAGGAGUGCACAUAACUCUUCAGCAAAUCCCACCAACAAUUCCAUUUUCUUAAUUAAUUAAUCUCCUUUUUUAUCCCCAAACAAAUCCUAAUGAUACUAUUAUCAGGUUUAAAACAGUACACAAAUAGUGAAAAGCUAACUAGUCUGUAGAGUAAUUUGCUAAUUGCUAUCUCCUCUCUAUGCUCGCUGAAUAAUUUGUUGCAUGCAAACUUUUUAUUUUAUGCAAAUCAUACGUACUGUAACAUUGGAAUUGAUGUAUAAGCAAAAAUACAAUAAUAUUUAUGUCAAUACAAAUAGUUUUUUUUCCCUUUUUAAAUAAACACAACGCGAUGUUGCUCUGCUCUACAUUUUUGCUAUCUCUUUAUUAUUAUUAUUUUUUUUUGGGCUUCUUAAAGCCUCAAACUUUGAUAACCAAAACUUCAUCGACCUAUGAAAAAAUCUGCAGAUUAGUUUUUAUUAUCGGAAUAAUUGUUUGAGAAUACUAAAACAAAAUAUAAAAUAAGAAAAUACGGGGUUAAAUUUGGGGAAAACAAAAAGGCAUGUUGGAUAGAUUACUAUAGUUUAAGGGGAAAAAAAAAUUCAAUUGGAAAUUUUUUUCUUUAAUUUUUGUUUUACUUGAUUGAGAUUUCUCCUUAGUCCUUACAGUUUUAAGUUUGGAUGCCGUAGGGUUAGUAAUUUAGUAUUUCCCUUGCAAGCUGAGCUUAAGGAUGAAAUUUCUUUUAAGAAAUUAAAAAAGAUUAAAAAAAGCAUACCAAUAGGUAAUUAUAAAUAACCAUAAAUAAACAUAAACAAAAUGUUUAUGAAGUAAAUUACACAUGCACAUAUUAUUUUUUUGUUAUAUUUCUUACUUGUCUAUUUUAUUUGCUGCUUGAUAACCCGUAAAUACUAAUCUAGUACUGCUAAUUUCAGACACAAAAUGUUUAACUCUAGGCUGCAGUUUUACUCAAAAUGAUGACCACUGGCUUCGCACCAUUUAACCGGCAUACAUUUCUACAAAUUGAACAAGGCUAUUGAUUUUCAUUAUUAUUUUUUAUUUAUUUAUAAAUUACUAUUUUAAUUUUCACUUUUUAUUGGGUUGUUUACAGAUUAGUGAAGUUGGUGGUCGUGAUGCACUCACAAGGUACAAUUUUAUUUUAUAAUUUCAAAUUUGUAUUUUAAAAUGCAGGUACAUUAUGUAUACAUAAUUAUUGAUUUUCAUAUGUGGGUGUUUUGAAAUAUUGCUAAAAGACCAAACUUUAAUAAACUAUUUUUUAUCUUUUUUUUUCCUAAAGUUUGAGUGAUAUCCGCAUUUUAAAUUCAUGUGGAACAAAAGCUAAUGUAUGCUCAAAAUUCUUUUAUUUUUUCCGAGAAGAAUGGGUAAGAGAAGAAGAUUUUUCUGUUGAAAAAGAAAAACUAAUACGAUGCAAGCAUAGGAAAGAGGUCAGUGUUUUGGAUUAGAAUUUAGUAUUGAGCUGAAUUUUAUACUAAACUCUUUUAUAGUACUGCGAUUAAUAAACUCAUGAUUUGCUUUUGCUUUUACUUCAAGUGAAAGAAAGAGGAAACCGUUUGAUUUUUGUUUGAUUCUUGACUAUAGAUGUUACCUAUAUAGAGAGUUGAGGUAGCUGCCUUAAGUGAUGGUUAUAAAAAGAUUAAGCAGCGCACACAAUCUUACUGUCGUCCAGACCAUCCAGCUAUGAUGACUCUAGUUUUUUGGUUACAUUAACUUUAGUGGAAAGGAGGGCCAAUUUAACAAAGACUAGAUUUGGUGGCUUACUAUAAUGCUUAUUCUCAGGGAAUCUAAUGUUAUAAGAUGAUUUAAUGAUCUUCUAUGAUUGUGAGUAGUAUAGUAUAAUUGAAAAGAGCUUGGGCUCCUAUGAUGAAUAUUUAAUAGUAACACAGUACUGUUAUUGAAAAAAACACAGUUACAAUAAACUCUUCAUUUAUUCAUUGUGGAGAUUGAAUGGCAAACAGAGAAUAAAAUGAAGCAGAGGAAUCUCAUUGCCAGUAAAAUUGACCCUCUUUAAUGUUAUAUGGCACAGGUGUGUGUACAGCAAGAUCAAGUUACUUGCAGUUUUUAUUGUAAAAUAUAUAGGUUAUGACCAUGAUCAUUGUAGUUAGGUUUUGAUGAUUUUAGAUGCUUUUUUUAUUUUUUUUAAAAUUGUGACACCUUUGAUUUAUGGUAGCUUUGCAGAAGAAAAAUAUAUAUAUAUAAAUUAGGAGGGAUGAGUUAACUAACGAUUGCAAUCAUUACAGUAAUGUUGAUGAGUGAUACAUCAUUUGAAAUUUACUUGUCAGUUACUGAAAUGAUGAAAAAAAACAAUAAACAAUAGCAGUAAUAUUUUUAUGGAAAAUCUUGGUUUUUAUGGAAAUACUCUUGCUGAAAUUCUAAUUUUGACUUUCAACUCUUGGUUUUUAUGGAAAGUAAAAUGACUUGUUUGUUAUAUUCAUACAAUCCACUCUACAUAAUGAUUUCAUUUUAAUAAAUGCUUGAUGAUCUCCACUGAAAAACUACUUCAAUUCUUUUGUUUUAUUUAACUUUUUGGUUGUUGAAAAUAGCCUUAAUUUUCAAAUAAUUGGAGAAAGAGUAAAGAACAUUUAACAAAUUUAUGUGCCAAAAAUAAAGGAGAAAUUGAAGAGAAAGGGUGCUUGCAGAAGUGGGUGCAAAGAUAAAUCAGUCCAUAAGAAUUAUUGUGGUUAUUAAGUUUUUGGCAAUAUAAAAAUUUUUCAGCAAAUAAAAAUUGAUUUUUUCCGAUUUACUAAAAAAUUAAUUAAAAACUUCGGUGAUAGCAUUUUUUAUGGGUGCAUGUACCCUCCCUUUAAAAAAAAUAUAAUAAUUAAUACUUAAUAUAGUAUUAAAUACGAAAAUAUCAAUAUUUGACUACACAAAUUUAUAUCAUUAGGUCCUUAAAAUUUAAAAUUGAAGACACAAAAUGAAAUAUAUAUAAAUUUCAUUCUCACAGGAAAGGAUCCUCUUAUAAUCUUAAAAUAUUUGAGCUUUGAAAGAUUUUUUAAAACAAAUGUACUUUUAUUUUUGUACAAUCAAUAUUUACUUAUUUAUUAUAUUUUUAUUCAUUAACUAUCAAUCAUGUGAGUAUAUUUACUCAGAAAUAUCAUAUCAAGGAAGAAUCUUGAUCCCACGCACACACAAAUAUGUUAAUUUCUAUACGCUUCACUUACCUGUAGAAUCAAUUAUCUAAAAUGCAAGUUUGUGGCCACAAAAAAAGCCAAAGAAAGAAGAUAAUAACAAUUGACUUGUAUAUUAUACUCAUACAAUCCACUCGACAUAAUGAUAUCAUUUUAAUAAGGCAAUGGCUGAUGAUCUCCAUUGAAAAACCAAUUCAAUUUUUUUGCUUCAUUUAACUUUUUGGUUGUUGAAAAUAACCUUAAUUAUCAAAUAAUUGGAGAAAGAGUAAAGAACAUUUAACAAAUUUAUGUGCAAAAAAAAAAAAAAAAAAAGGAGAAGUUGAAGGGAAAGGGUGCUUGCAGAAGUGGGUGUCAAAGAAAAAUCUGUCCAUAAGAAUUAUUGCGGUUAUUUUUUGGCAAUAUAAAAUUUUUAUAGCAAGUAAAAAUUAAUUUUUUCCAAUUUACUAAAAAAUUAACUAAAAACUUCUGCGACAACAUUUUUUAUGGGUGCAUAUACCCGCCCUUUAAAAAAAAAAAUAAUUAAUGCUUAAGUUAGUAUUAAAUACGAAAAUAUCAAUAUUUGACUACUCAAAUUUAUAUCAUUAGGUCCUUAAAAUUUAAAAUUGAAGAUACUAAAGGAAAUAUAUAUAAAUUUCAUUCUCAUGGAAAGGAUUCUCUUAUAAUCUUAUAAUAUUUGAGUUUUGAAAUUUUUUUGAAACAAAUGUAAUUUUAUUUGUGUACAAUCAAUAUUUACUUAUUUAUUAUAUUUUAAUUUAUUAACUAUCAAUCAUGUAAGUAUAUUUAGUCAGAAAAAUUAUAUCGAGAGAGAAUCCUAAUUUCACGCAAACACAAAUACAAGACAAAUAUGUUAAUUUCUAUACUAUUCACUUUCCUGUAGAAUCAAUUAUCUAAAAUGCAAGUUUGUGGCUAUAGAAAACUCGCCAAAGAAAGAAGAUAAUAACAAUUGAGCAUUGAUAGCAAAACUAAUGCAUCAUUUUCUUCUUGACUUGAUGAGAUGGUGCCAUUACAAAACAAUAAUUACCUUAAUUGACGGGCACUGAGUGAUGUGAAUACUACCAGCCAGUUCAUCUCUUCCAGUCUUGCUUAAUCACAAUCACAAACACCACGAGAUUGACAUUUGCAUUAUAUAUAUCUUCAGCAAUCGAAACACCUUGCAUUACCAAAUUAACCGGUAACAAACAAAGCAACCUUUCAUGGAGAGAAACUUUAGUCUCAGUAUGAUCACUGUGUCAUUAACCCACUUCCUGCUUCUUUGCUUGGUUGUUGCAGCAGCAGCAGCAGCAGCAAGCAACAAUAUUACCACAGACCAACAAGCUCUUCUUGCCCUGAAAGAUCAUAUAACUUAUGAUCCAACCAAACUUUUUGCCCAUAAUUGGACCUCGAAUACCUCUGUUUGCACCUGGAUUGGCCUCAGUUGUGAUGUCAAUAGCCAUAGAGUCACAGCCUUAGAUAUUUCUCAAUUCAAUAUACAAGGCACCAUCCCUCCUCAACUUGGAAACCUCUCUUCACUCACAACACUUAAUCUUAGUCGUAAUAAGCUUUCUGGAAGCAUUCCCCCCUCCAUCUACACCAUGCAUACGCUAAAAUUUCUAGACUUCACUGAUAACCUGCUCUCUGGUUCAGUGUCUUCCUCCGUCUUCAACAUGUCUUCAAUAUUAGACAUUCGUUUGACCAAUAACAGACUUUCUGGUGAGCUUCCGAAAAAUAUUUGCAACUAUCUUCCUUACUUGAAAGCCCUUUUUCUGGACAAAAACAAGUUGCAUGGCAAAAUUCCUUCAGCUUUAUCAAAUUGCAAACAACUGCAACAAUUGCAUUUGCAGUUCAAUAAUUUAUCCGGUGCAAUACCGAAAGAAAUCGGCAACUUGACUAUGCUCAAAUGGAUAGAUCUCGGCUACAACAAACUCCACGGUAUGUUUCAUAAUGCUAUCUAAAUAUUUUAAUUUAUCACUUGUUUAUUUUAAUUUCUCACUUGUUAUUUUUCUUGAAUACUUUAGAUAAGAUCUAGUAAGUGAGAUUUUUUGCAUCUAUGUUAAUUUACCAGGUGAGAUACCCCCCGAAAUCGCUAAUCUUCGAAAUCUAGAGGCUUUGGUGCUUGGAAUGAACAACCUAGUGGGUGUGUUACCAGCUACAAUCUUCAACAUGUCAACACUGAAGGUAGUUAUCCUCAUUAAUAACUCUCUCUUCGGAAGUCUCCCAUCAAGAAUAGACCUUUCACUUCCAACUAUUGAGCACCUUAACUUGGCACUUAAUAGAUUUUCUGGAACCAUUCCUAGUUCCAUCACCAAUGCUUCUAAGCUCACCUUUCUAGAGUUGGGAGGAAACACAUUUUCGGGCUUUAUUCCGAACACAAUUGGUAAUUUAAGAAACCUUGAGUGGCUCAGCUUGGGUAAUAACUACUUGACAUCUUCAACCUCAAAAUUGAGCUUUCUUUCCUCUUUGGCAAAUUGCAAGAAAUUAAGAGACAUAGGCUUAACAGGCAAUCCACUCGACGGUAUCCUUCCAAGUUCAAUAGGUAAUCUUUCCAUGUCUUUGAAAACACUUUACAUCGGCAAUUGCAGUAUUAGUGGCAACAUUCCUCAAUCAAUUGGCAAUUUAAGCAACUUAUUGGCCUUAGUAUUAGAAGGCAAUAAAUUGACCGGACCAAUCCCAACUACAUUCGGCCAACUGCAGAAACUCCAAGGCUUAUUUCUUACAUUCAAUAAGUUGGUAGGUUCAUUCCCAGAUGAGCUUUUCCAUCUAGCUAGGCUGGAUAAAUUGGUAUUAUUGGGAAAUAAGCUUUCAGGAUCUAUGCCUUCAUGCUUAAGUAACCUCACUUCUCUGAGAUCUCUCUACUUAGGGUCCAAUAGGUUUACUUCUGUUAUUCCCUCAACUUUCUGGAGCCUAAAAGACAUCUUGUUCUUUGACUUUUCAUCAAAUUUCUUGGUUGGUACUCUUUCUUUCGACAUAGGUAAUUUGAAGGUGCUUCUAGGAAUAAGUUUAUCAGAAAAUAACUUAUCGGGUGAUAUGCCAGCCACAAUUGGAGGGAUAAAAAAACCUUCAAAUUAUGGACCUAGCAUAUAAUAGAUUGGAAGGGCAAAUUCCUGAAUCAUUUGGUGACUUGACAAGUUUGGAGGUUUUGAAUUUGUCAAAUAAUAAAAUCUCUGGGUCUAUUCCAAAAUCCAUGGAGAAACUCUUUUACCUCCGAGAGUUAAAUCUCUCUUUCAAUGAACUAGAAGGUGAGAUUCCUAGUGGAGGAAUUUUUGCCAACUUCACAGCUGAGUCAUUUAUGGGAAAUGAGUUAUUGUGUGGUUUACCAAAUCUUCAAGUCCAACCAUGCAAAGUUAGCAAGCCGAGGACAGAACAUAAAUCAAGGAAAAAGAUACUUCUCAUUGUGAUUGUUUUGCCAUUGAGUAUUGCUCUAACAAUAGCAAUCACUCUACCUCUCAAAUCUAAGCUGAUCGAAUGUGGAAAAAGAAGCACAGUGUUGUCAAAUGAUAGUGUCUUGUCAUCACAAGCAACACUAAGAAGAUUUUCAUACUUAGAACUUUUACAAGCAACAGAUAAUUUUGCUGAAAACAACGUAAUUGGCAUAGGAGGUUUUGGUUCUGUUUACGGUGGAAGACUUGAAGAUGGGAUGAAGAUUGCAAUAAAAGUGUUUCACCAGCAAUGUGCAAGCGCAUUGAAGAGUUUUGAGGCUGAAUGUGAAGUGUUAAAAAAUAUUCGCCAUCGAAACCUUAUUAAAGUUAUCAGCAGUUAUUCAAACAAUGACUUCAAAGCAUUAGUUCUAGAAUACAUGUCCAACGGGAGCUUAGGGGACUGGCUGCAUUCUAGCAAUUAUGUGCUGAAUAUAUUUCAGAGGUUGAACAUAAUGAUUGAUGUUGCAUCAGCUUUAGAACAUCUCCACUUCGAUCAUUCGACUCCUAUUAUUCAUUGUGACUUAAAGCCUAGUAAUGUAUUGUUGGACGGAAAUAUGGUUGCUCAUUUGAGUGAUUUUGGCAUAGCAAAGCUUUUAAGUGGAGAGGAUGAGUCUAUGAUGCGAACAAAAACCCUUGCCACUAUAGGUUAUAUGGCACCAGGUUUGCUUCAAACAACUUUUUUUUUUUAGUUCAUUUUAAAUUUUGCAACUUAUUGAUUUUUACGAUCCUCACAUCAAAAUGUUAUUGAUUAUUUAUCUAAUUUUGAAAUUAAUUUGAUUCAUAGAGUACGGCAUAGAAGGAGAAGUAUCUACAAAAAGUGAUGUUUACAGCUAUGGGAUUAUGUUGAUGGAAACUUUUACCAAGAAAAAACCCACAGAUGAAAUUUUUGUUGGAGAAUUGAGCUUGAAGCGUUGGGUUAAUGACUUGCUUCCUACUUCAUUAGUGGAAGUUGUGGACAAAACUCUGCUAAGUGGAGAGGAAAAACAUUCUGCAGCAAAGGAGCAAUGUCUGUUGUCUAUCUUUAGUUUGGCUCUGGAGUGUACAAUGGAAUCACCGGAAAAGAGGAUUAAUGCAAAAGAUAUUGUUACAAGAUUACUCAAGAUAAGAGACACAUUGAGUAAAAGGAUAGGAAAUUUAAGUUAAUUUCGUUUGCUUUCAUUGAUAGUUAAUUCGAAUUCAUGUAAUAAGUCUAAGAAUCUUAUAUCUUCAAAUUCGCAUUUUAAAAUGCACAAAUGUUUGUGUAUACAUAAUUAGUAAUCGAUUCUCAAGCUUUGGACAUUUAAAAGCACUGCUAAAAGACAAAAUUUUAAUUCACUAUUUUUUUGUCUUUUAAUUUUCUUUAAGUUUUAAUGAUUCCGCAUUUUAAAAUCCUGUGGAACGUGCAUGUAAAAUUCUUUUAUCUUUUAGAGGAAAAUGGGCAAGAGAAGAAGAUUUGGCAAAGGAAUUGCAACCGCAUUUGGAGCUAGUUUUAAUUUUGUCUUUUAAUUCUUUUACACUUGGCUUUUGUUAUUGAUGUUAACUUCGAUGUGUGUGCGUGUGCGACUGAAUUCAACUUACAUGCUAUUGAUGCAGCCACCAAAAAGGGGUGGUCCAUCAUCAAUCAACAAGGUUUAUUAUUAUUAAUUUCCAUAUUGAUUUUCUUAAUUAUAAAUAAUACUAAUGCUAUUUCAUAGUUAUAAAUAUAUUAGAAUUAAUCGAAAUCAUUUUUUAGUGUGGCAUGGCUAAAACUACCUUUUUUUUAUUAUAAGUAAUUACUACUUUCACAUUAAGAAAAAUACUCCUAUUUUUAAGGAAAAGUCAAGUACCUGUAGUUGUGAAGACUCGAGCUCACUCCCUUAUGAUAAAUCUUCAUAUUAAUUACGUAAAUAUCCUCUAAAAUUUUAAAUUAGCUAUUCAAAAUUUGAUGUUAUACGGGUAUUUCAUUUAUUUGAGUAGGGGUUAGGGGUCAAUUGGAUACAAAUUCAAAAUUAUCCUUACUUGAGAAGGUGAUAAAAAUUGGGGAUUUAGUUUGGAUGUCAUUAGCUACAAAUAUUAAACUCAUACAUUUAAUUCAAAAUUAGAGGGCUGAUAUAUGCGCAUCAUCGUCCACGUUAUAGUGACACUGCGUCACCAUUCCACAACCUCUCCAAUGAAAAAUUGACAUGCUUCUUGUGCGCAUCUAAUCAGAAUCUUGAAAAUUAAUCACAAAAUUGUACUUUUAUUAUAAAAAGAAUAAAGAAACUCCAAGAAAAAAAAAAGACUUACAUAAAUAGAUUGAAAAAUCUAGAUUUCAAGUUGUCUAUAUUAGCUUGAUAUUUUUAUUAAUAGUCAUCCUCCCAAAAAAAUUCCAUCAAAAUAUAUUUUAAUUUUAUGUUAAUUCAUAAACUUGAAAAAAUCAUUUUAGAAUUAAUUAAAACAUAAUUUAUUGUUGCUCAAAAAAGGUAGAACUUAGUUAUCAGAAAAAAGUGUCUAAAAUAUAUGUUAAAAAAAAAUCAUGGUUGGUUGGACUGAUUGAAUUUUUUUUUCUUUUUUAAGAAUUAAGACAAUUGGAUGGAUUGAGUAAUAAUAAUACAUAUUUAUUUGGCAAAUGGCAGGGAGGCUUUCGUCUGAUGCAGAUUGAUUAGAGAGAAAAUAUAACAAUUUUAAGCUCGUCAGAUUCGAAGCUGCUUACCUGUCGUGUGGGGAUCACUUCCGUGUCUUAUUUUUCUAGAAAAAUCUGGACCAUUGGAUUUACCAUUAGUCAAUAGAGAAAUGUUGAUCUUGAUUCUUGAUCAAGAUCGAAGUUUGAUUCUAACUAACACGAUAUCAGAUUGCGAAGCAAGCAAAUUGAAAGUCACUUGUUCUAUGGAAGAAACACAAGUUCUAAUAAAACAUUCUCAUAGUAAAGUGAAUUACCAUCCAACGAUCCAACUCAUGUUUUCAAAUUGUAAAUUGCAAAUCGUGUGUUUGCUCCAUUACAGAGUUUCUUCAAUCUGAAAUAGCGAAUCAUUUGUGUUCUAGAUUAAUCGUGGGUCUAUAUCCAAAUCUAAAAAUUGACUAACUUGAUUUCUAUUAAAUUCUUAAUCCUAACAAGAAAAAUUGAAGAUUAAAAACGACUAAUUUGGUACCAUACCACUAUUGUAACAUAGGUAGAUCCUCUAUUAAUUGGAGUAAAGAUUGAAUUAUCUCAUUUAUUAAGGUUUAUCAAAAUCUUGUGUCAAAAUCUAUUAAUGAUAUAGGUUCAAGGAUGAAAAAGUCACUGCAUUACUUUUGAGUUCCCAAAUAGAUGAAUGGAUGUUAUUUUUAGAUUCCGGAGAGUCGAAAAUAUUAAGAUAGGUGCUAAAUCGAAUUAAGUUGUAGAUACGAUAGAAAUGGAUUUGGAGAGAUUGGAAUCCUAGGUAAUCCGGUGCACGUUGUCGUGUUAAAUUCUCGUUGACUUCACGUUGACUGAAGCAUUAUUGGAAGAAACAAGUUUAUUGAUGUGAGGCCUUUGAGGUUGUAAGUGUUAAAUAUGAGAAGAAUACCCACACACCCAUUAUCCUAUUACUCUUAUAUCACAUGAAGAGAAUUCAACAUUUGAUUCACACGGAAAAAAUUUGUGAGGAUUGUGAGGGUUGAUGGAAUAUAAUUUAGAUACAAAGUGUUUUACCAGUGCGAUGCUUCGCAAGUGUUCUUGAAUCAAUAUAAACUCACGUUAUUUUCAUAGUGAUUGUUUCAUGUGCACGUGGAUAUAAUCACAUGUCGAGAUUUUUUUCCUUAAAUUAUGGUCUUAUUUAGUAUUAAGGUGUUAUAUCUUUUAAGGUACAAUUAUUGUUGGAAAAAAGUUGCAUCUAUCAAAUAAAAUUAGUACUAUGUGCUAAAUAUAAUUGUUAAAUAAUAAUUUUGACAAAAUUAGUGAAGUUAUAUAGAUUUUUUUUCAUCAUACAAGCAUAAAAUCAAAUCAACUUAACUUCUAAGUUAUAUAUCGGCUACUUAGGGAUGGCAAUGGAUUGGAUCUGACCCAAGAUCCACGUGAUCCAAAUCUAAUCGGAUCGGAUUUGGGUCAGUUUAAAAUGAAUUUGGAUCGGAUUUGGAUAUUGAUGUGCGGAUCUAAGACGGAUCUGGAGCAGGUCUGGAUCUAUCUUAGUAUCUAAAUCCAUAUCCAUAUCCACCCAUCUUUUAAUUUAAUUUUAUUUUAAAAGUUUCUUAACAAUUGUGGAAUUAUAAUGAUAAUGAAUUUUAUUCAUAGCAUAUUAGUGGUAUUUACCAUGCAUUUAAACUCUUUAAAAUUAAAGGUUAGUUUUGUAAAUUUAAAGACUAGCCAGGCCCAAAGCAUGUACAUGCAAUAUUCAAAUUGCAAGCCAAGUAAUACAACCUGGCAAUUUAUUUUAUUAUAUUGGCCAAAUAAUUUUUAAGGAAUAUAGGUAUUCAUAUAUUUUGUCAAAUAUGGUCAUAAUAAAAAUAAUAAAGGACUGAAUAUAAAUCAUAUUUUAUUUAUAUGUCAUUAUCUAAUAUUAUAAGAAUGAGGGUGGGUGUGUUGUAGAUAUUAGAAUGAUGAAUGAGACAAUAGAAUAUUAGAUUGAUCUUACUCCUGCAAUUACUUUUAAAGGAUAUUUUAUUAUCUUAUUUGUUGUUUUGGUGUAAAAGUAUAAGUUACAAUAUUUAUUAUAUUUUUGAGAAAAAUUAUAUAAUUUAUUUGUUAUCAAUACAUUUUAACCUUCAAUUUUCAUUCUAAAAAAUUAUUACUUUUUAAUUGAUGAGUUUUAGAAUUCAUGACAGAUCUAGAGCAGAUUUGGAUUUUAAUUUUUUUUUUCAGAUUUGGAGCAGAUAUAAAUAUUUAUUUCUUUUAUGGAUAUGGAUAUGGAGCGAAAAAUAUAGAUUCAUGAUGGAUCUGGAGCAGAUACGGAUCUUGAUUUUUAUUAUGGAUUUGGAUCUGGAGCAGAGUAGAUCCAACCCAUAUCUGCCCCAUUGCCAUCCCUACGGCUACUGUUAAUCAUAUGUUUUAGUUCUGUAACUUUUAAGUUAUAGUUACCCAAUCUCAAUUCUAAACCAGACCUAUAAAGAUCAAAGAUUUCCUCAUUAAAUUAUAUGUCUUGUGAUUGCUUAUUUAAUUUAUAUUUUUUUUUAUUUAUCUUUAUUAAUUAUAAUCAUCUUUUUAUAAAUUAAAAUUGAAGGAAGUUGAUUGAUGUUGUUGACACACGCACACACGCACACACUCACAAAGAUAUAUUGGAAGUGCUUACGUCGACUCGAAGUUGUUGGGAAUUAAUGCAUGUAUUGAUUUAUUGGGAGUGUUUAAAUGAUUUUUUGAUUUACUUGAUUUAUUGAUUGAAUAUUGUUUGAUUGCUUCAUAUCCAUUCUAGAAAGUUUAUUUCUUUGUGAAAUUUCAACGAAAUAUGUUUUUUUUUUUAAAUAAGGGUGUUCUAAAUAAUUUAAAAAUAUAUAUGGACUAAUUAGAAUUAAUUAUUAGGUAAUUAACUCAAUCUGUAUAGGGUGAAACAACAUUUAUCCUAAUUAUAUCAUGAUAAAUACUUUUCCUAUUAGAAUUAGGAAAUCAUAGGUUUAUUGAAUUGUUUUUUUUUUUCCUUUGCGGAAACGGAUUAGAGAAUUAGAAAACAAUCAUGUUGAUGUCAAAAUCUGAUCUAGUCGGUUAGCGACUUAAUAUCAUAUUACUGCACCAACAUUAAAUUUAUUGGGUGGAGAAUCGACUGGUCAAUUGUCAAGAUGUCCUGCAAUCACUAGCGAUUAACCUACGAAUACCUAAAAUCACAGAAGACGGUAAGAGGCACCGGAAGUUUUUUCGGCGUGAACCUUCCGACGCUCAAGUCAGUUUAUAGGUUUACCAUAAUAAAAAUAAAUAAUUUCUAUUUAAAAAAAAAUAGAGUUCAAAAGCUCAAAAAUAAAACCCAAUCCCAAUAUGAAAAUGAAUUUUUUUUUUUUUUUUUCUAGCUUGGCCGAAUCCUUCUGCCUCCUAAAGAAACAUAACAGAGAAGCAGGUAGCCAUGUUCCCUAGGUAACGCCCCACUCCCCUCUUUUAUUCCUCCCCCUCUCUUCCGUUUCCUUCUUUUGCUCACUAUCCUUCAUAAUUUUUUAUGCUUGUCUUCCCAAAAUAGCCUUUUAAUACACAAGUAAAUGUCUAGGCUUUGGUGAGGAUAGUUUGGUCAUUGCAUUUUACAAGUAAGAUGAGUGGUGGAGAAAAAUGAGGAGUGCACAUAUAACGCUUCAGCAAAUCCCACCAGCAAUUCCAUUUUCUUAAUUAAUUAAUCUCUUCAGCAAAUCCCACCAACUCUUCAGCAAAUCCUAAUGAUAUUAUUAUCAGGUUUAAAACAGUACACAAAUAGUGAAAAGCUAACUAGUCUGUAGAGUAAUUUGCUAAUUGCUAUCUCCUCUCUCCGCGCGCUGAAUAAUUUGUUGCAUGCAAACUUUUUAUUUUAUGCAAAUCGUACGUACUGUAACAUUGGAAUUGAUGUAAAAGCAAAAAUACAAGAAUAUUUAUGUCAAUAAAAAUAGUUUUUUUGGCCUUUUUAAAUAAACACAACGCGAUAUUGCUCUGCUCUACAUUUUUGCUAUCUCUUUAUUCUUCUUUUUUUUUUUGGGCUUCUUAAAGCCUCAAACUUUGAUAACCAAAACUUCAUCGACCUAUGAAAAAAUCUGCAGAUUAGUUUUUAUUAUCGGAAUAAUCAUUUGAGAAUACUAAAACAAAAUAUAAAUAAGAAAAUAGGAGGUUAAAUUAGAGGGGGGAAAAAAGGUAUGUUGGAUAGAUUACUAUAGUUUAAGAAAAAAAAAUCCAAUUGGGAAUUUUUUUCUUUAAUUUUUGUUUUACUUGAUUGAGAUUUCUCCUUGGUCCUUACAGUUUUAAGUUUGGAUGCCGUAGGGUUAGUAAUUUAGUACUUCCUUUGCAAGCUGAGUGCAAGAAUGAAAAUCUUUAAAGAAAUAAAAAAAAAAAAAAAAAGCAUACCAAUAGGUAAUUAUAAAUAACCAUACAUAAACAUAAACAAAAUGAGGUAAUUAUUAAUAUUAUUUUUUGUUUUAUUUCUUACUUGUCUAUUUUAUUUGCUGCUUGAUAACCCGUAAAUACUAAUCUAGUACUGCUAAUUUCAGACACAAAAUUUUUAACUCUAGGCUGCAGUUUUACUCAAAAUGAUGACCACUGGCUUCGCACCAUUUAACCGGCAUACAUUUCUACAAAUUGAACAAGGCUAUUGAUUUUCAUUAUUAUUUUUUAUUUUUUUAUAAAUUACUAUUUUAAUUUUCACUUUUCAUUGGGUUGUUUAACGGAUUAGUGAAGUUGGUGGUCGUGAUGCACUCACAAGGUACAAUUUUAUUUUAUAAUUUCAAAUUUGUAUUUUAAAAUGCAGGUACAUUAUGUAUACAUAAUUAUUGAUUUUCGUAUGUGGGUGUUUUGAAAUAUUGCUAAAAGACCAAACUUUAAUAAACUAUUUUUCAUCUUUUUUUUUUCCUAAAGUUUAAGUGAUAUCCGCAUUUUAAAUUCAUGUGGAACAAAAGCUAAUGUAUGCACAAAAUCCUUUUAUUUUUUCCGAGAAAAAUGGUUAAGAGAAGAAGAUUUUUCUCUUGAAAAAGAAAAACUAAUACGAUGCAAGCAUAGGAAAGAGGUCAGUGUUUUGGAUUAGAAUUUAGUAUUGAGCUGAAUUUUAUACUAAACUCUUUUAUAGUACUGCGAUUAAUAAACUCAUGAUUUGCUUUUGCUUUUACCUCAAGUGAAAGAAAGAGGAAACCUUUUGUUUUUUGUUUGAUUCUUGACUAUAGGUGUUACCUAUAUAGAGAGUUGAGGUAGCUGCCUUAAGUGAUGGUGAUAAAAAGAUUAAGCAGCGCACACAAUCUUACUGUCGUCCAGACCAUCCAGCUGUGAUGACUCUUGUUUUUUGGUUACAUUAGCUUUAGUGGAACGGAGGGCCAAUUUAACAAAGACUAGAUUUGGUGGCUUACUAUAAUGCUUAUUCUCAGGGAAUCUAAUGUUAUAAGAUGAUUUAAUGAUCUUCUAUGAUUGUGAGUAGUAUAGUAUAAUUGAAAAGAGCUUGGGCUCCUAUGAUGAAUAUUUAAUAGUAACACAGUACUGUUAUUGAAAAAAACACAGUUACAAUAAACUCUUCAUUUAUUCAUUGUGGAGAUUGAAUGGCAAACAGAGAAUAAAAUGAAGCAGAGGAAUCUCAUUGCCAGUAAAAUUGACCCUCUUUAAUGUUAUAUGGCACAGGUGUGUGUACAGCAAGAUCAAGUUACUUGCAGUUUUUAUUGUAAAAUAUAUAGGUUAUGACCAUGAUCAUUGUAGUUAGGUUUUGAUGAUUUUAGAUGCUUUUUUUAUUUUUUUUAAAAUUGUGACACCUUUGAUUUAUGGUAGUUUUGCAGAAGAAAAAAAUAUAUAUAAAAAUUAGGAGGGAUGAGUUAACUAACGAUUGCAAUCAUUACAGUAAUGUUGAUGAGUGAUACAUCAUUUGAAAUUUACUUGUCAGUUGCUGAAAUGAUGAAAAAAAACAGUAAACAAUAGCAGUAAUAUUUUUUGGCAAUAUAAAAAAUUAUUGCGGUUAUUUUUUGGCAAUAUAAAAAAAUUUUAGCAAAUAAAAAUUAAUUUUUUUCCGAUUAACUAAAAAAUUAAUUAAAAACUUCUGCGAUGGCAUUUUUUAUGGGUGCAUAUACCCUCCCUUUAAAAGAAAAAAUAAUAAUUAAUACUUAAUAUAGUAUUAAAUACGAAAAUAUCAAUAUUUGACUACACAAAUUUAAUAGUCUUGUGUAAUUAGUGAGUGAGAGAUUGGGUGUAUUGGAGUUUUGGGUAGUGAGCCAAAAUAUUACAAUACUUGUAAUCUUUAUUUCACUAGUGAAAUAUUUUCCUUCUGUUUUUGCCCGUGGACGUAGGCUAAAAGCCGAACCACGUAAUUUCUGGUGUCCUCUAUUGUACUUGUUCUUUAUUUGCUUCCAAUUUUAUUUUAACUGCGCGUCUGCUUCACCCAUCAAUUUCCUAACAAAUCUUGAUCCCAUGCACACGCAAAUAUGUUAAUUUCUAUACGCUUCACUUACCUGUAGAAUCAAUUAUCUAAAAUGCAAGUUUGUGGCCACAAAAAAAGCCAAAGAAAGAAGAUAAUAACAAUUGACUUGUAUAUUAUACUCAUACAAUCCACUCGACAUAAUGAUAUCAUUUUAAUAAGGCAAUGGCUGAUGAUCUCCAUUGAAAAACUAAUUCAAUUUUUUUGCUUCAUUUAACUUUUUGGUUGUUGAAAAUAACCUUAAUUAUCAAAUAAUUGGAGAAAGAGUAAAGAACAUUUAACAAAUUUAUGUGCAAAAAAAAAAAAAAAGAAGUUGAAGAGAAAGGGUGCUUGCAGAAGUGGGUGUCAAAGAAACAUCGGUCCAUAAGAAUUAUUGCGGUUAUUUUUUGGCAAUAUAAAAUAUUUAUAGCAAGUAAAAAUUAAAUUUUUUCCGAUUUACUAAAAAAUUAACUAAAAACUUCUGCCACAACAUUUUUUAUGGGUACAUAUACCCUCCCUUUAAAAAAAAAAUAAUAAUUAAUGCUUAAUAUAGUAUUAAAUACCAAAAUAUCAAUAUUUGGCUACUCAAAUUUAUAUCAUUAGGUCCUUAAAAUUAAAAAUUGAUGAUACAAAAGGAAAUAUAUAUAAAUUUCAUUCUCAUGGAAAGGAUUCUCUUAUAAUCUUAUAAUAUUUGAGUUUUGAAAUUUUUUGAAGCAAAUGUAAUUUUAUUUGUGUACAAUCAAUAUUUACUUAUUUAUUAUAUUUUAAUUUGUUAACUAUCAAUCAUUUAAGUAUAUUUAGUCAGAAAAAUUAUAUCAAGAGAGAAUCCUAAUUUCACGCAAACACAAAUACAAGAUAAAUAUGUCAAUUUCUAUACUAUCCACUUUCCUGUAGAAUCAAUUAUCUAAAAUGCAAGUUUGUGGCUACCGAAAACUCGCCAAAGAAAGAAGAUAAUAACAAUUGAGCAUUGAUAGCAAAACUAAUGCAUCAUUUUCUUCUUGACUUGAUGAGAUGGUGCCAUUACAAAAAAAAAAGUACCUUAAUUGACGGGCACUGAGUGAUGUGAAUACUACCAGCCAGUUCAUCUCUUCCAGUCUUGCUUAAUCACAAUCACAAACACCACGAGAUUGACAUUUGCAUUAUAUAUAUCUUCAGCAAUCGAAACACCUUGCAUUACCAAAUUAACCGGUAACAAACAAAGCAAUCUUUCAUGGAGAGAAACUUUAGUCUCAGUAUGAUCACUUUGUCAUUAACCCACUACCUGCUUCUUUGCUUGGUUGUUGCAGCAGCAGCAGCCGCAAGCAACAAUAUUACCACAGACCAACAAGCUCUUCUUGCCCUGAAAGAUCAUAUAACUUAUGAUCCAACCAACCUUUUUGCCCAUAAUUGGACCUCGAAUACCUCUGUUUGUACCUGGAUUGGCAUCACUUGUGAUGUCAAUAGCCAUAGAGUCACAGCCUUAGAUAUUUCUCAAUUCAAUCUACAAGGCACCAUCCCUCCUCAACUUGGAAACCUUUCUUCACUUACAACGCUUAAUCUUAGUCAUAACAAGCUUUCUGGAGACGUUCCAUCCUCCAUCUACACCAUGCAUUCGCUAAAAUUUCUUGACUUCACUGAUAACCAGCUCUCUGGUUCAGUGUCUUCCUUCGUCUUCAACAUGUCUUCAAUAUUAGAAAUUCUUUUGACCAAUAACAGAUUUUCUGGUGAGCUUCCGAAAAAUAUUUGCAACUAUCUUCCUUAUUUGAAAGCCCUUUUCUUAAACAAAAACAUGUUUCAUGGCAAAAUUCCUUCUGCUUUAUCAAAGUGCAAACAACUGCAAAAAUUAAAUUUGCAGUUCAAUAAUUUAUCCGGUGCAAUACCGAAAGAAAUCGGCAACUUGACUAUGCUCAAAGGCAUAUAUCUCGAAUACAACAAACUCCACGGUAUGUUCAUAAUACUAUGUAAAUGUUUUAAUUUCUCAAUUGUUAUUUUCUUGAAUACUUUAGACAAGAUCUUGUAAGGGAGAUAUUUUUGGAUCUGUGUUAAUUUGCCAGGUGAGAUACCCCACGAAAUCGCUAAUCUUCGAAAUCUAGAGGAUUUAUUGCUUGGAAUGAACAACCUAGUUGGUGUGUUACCAGCUCCAAUCUUCAACAUGUCAACACUGAAAUUAUUUGACCUCAUAAAUAACUCUCUCUCCGGAAGUCUUCCAUCAAGAAUAGACCUUUCACUUCCAACUGUUGAGUUUUUUGGCUUGGCACUUAAUAGAUUUUCUGGAACCAUUCCUAGUUCCAUCACCAAUGCUUCUAAGCUCACCGUUCUAGCGUUGGGAGAGAACACAUUUUCGGGCUUCAUUCCAAACACAAUUGGUAAUUUAAGAAACCUUGAGUGGCUCAGCUUGGAGAAUAAUUACUUGAAAUCUUCAACCUCAAAAUUGAGCUUUCUUUCCUCUUUGGCAAAUUGCAAGAAAUUAAGAUUCUUAAACUUAGCAGGCAAUCCACUUGACGGCUUCCUUCCAAGUUCAAUAGGUAAUCUUUCUGUGUCUUUGGAAACACUUUUCAUCGGCAAUUGCAGUAUUAGUGGCAACAUUCCUCAAGCAAUUAGCAAUUUAAGCAACUUGUUGACCUUAGUAUUAGAAGGCAAUAAAUUGACUGGACCAAUUCCAAUUACAUUUGGCCGACUACAGAAACUCCAAGGCUUAGAUCUUGCAUUCAAUAAGUUGGUAGGUUCAUUCCCAGAUGAGCUUUGCCAUCUAGCAAGGCUGGAUCAAUUGGUCUUAUUUGGCAAUAAGCUUUCAGGAUCUAUACCUUCAUGCCUAAGUAAUCUCACUUCUCUAAGAUCUCUCUACUUAGGGUCCAAUAGGUUAACUUCUGUUAUUCCCUCAACUUUCUGGAGCCUAAAAUACAUCUUGUUCUUUGACUUUUCAUCAAAUUUCUUGGUUGGUACUCUUUCUUUCGACAUAGGUAAUUUGAAGGUGCUUCUAGGAAUAAAUUUAUCAGAAAAUAACUUAUCGGGUGAUAUGCCAGCCACAAUUGGAGGACUGAAAGAUCUUCAAUUUAUGGACCUAGCAUUUAAUAGAUUGGAAGGCCCAAUUCCUGAAUCAUUUGGUGACUUGACAAGUUUGGAGGUUUUGAAUUUGUCAAAAAAUAAAAUCUCUGGGUCUAUUCCAACAUCCAUGGAGAAACUCAUUUACCUUCGAGAGUUAAAUCUCUCUUUCAAUAAACUUGAAGGUGAGAUUCCUAGUGGAGGAAUUUUUACCAACUUCACAGCUGAGUCAUUUAUGGGAAAUGAGUUAUUGUGUGGUUUACCAAAUCUUCAAGUCCAACCAUGCAAACUUAGCAAGCCUAGGACAGAACAUAAAUCAAGGAAAAAGAUACUUCUCAUUGUGAUUGUUUUGCCAUUGAGUAUUGCUCUAACGAUAGCAAUCACUCUAGCUCUCAAAUCUAAGCUGAUCGAAUGUAGAAAAAGAGGCACAGAGUUAUCAAAUGAUAGUAUCUUGUCAUCAGAAGCAACACUAAGAAGAUUUUUAUACUUAGAACUUUUACAAGCAACAGAUAAUUUUGCUGAAAACAACAUAAUUGGCAGAGGAGGUUUUGGUUCCGUUUAUGGAGCAAGACUUGAAGAUGGGAUGAAGAUUGCAAUAAAAGUGUUUCACCAGCAAUGUGCAAGCGCAUUGAAGAGUUUUGAGGCUGAAUGUGAAGUGUUAAAAAAUAUUCACCAUCGAAACCUUAUCAAAGUUAUCAGCAGUUGCUCGAACGAUGACUUCAAAGCAUUAGUCCUAGAAUACAUGUCCAACGGGAGCUUGGAGGAUUGGCUGCAUUCUAGCAAUUAUGUGCUGAAUAUAUUUCAGAGGUUGAACAUAAUGAUUGACGUUGCAUCAGCUUUAGAAUAUCUCCACUUCGAUCAUUCAACUGCUAUUAUUCAUUGUGACUUAAAGCCUAGUAAUGUAUUGUUGGACGAAAAUAUGGUUGCUCAUUUGAGUGAUUUUGGCAUAGCAAAGCUUUUAAGUGGAGAGGAUGAGUCUACGAUACGAACAAAAACCCUUGCCACUCUAGGUUAUAUGGCACCAGGUUUGCUUCAAACAA